AGGAAUCCAUCUGGGCUGCCAGAGGGGUUCGAGGAUAGAGUCAAGGGAAGGGGUAUCGUUUGGAAGAAUUGGGCACCUCAGCUUAACGUGCUGAGUCAUGACUCAGUGGGUGGAUUCCUGACUCACUGCGGGUGGAGUUCGAGUAUAGAGGGGCUCAUGUUUGGUCAUCCGCUCAUUAUGCUGCCGUUUGUCGCAGAUACGGGGUUGAUUGCUAGGAUGCUGGAGGAAAAACAGGUGGGGAUAGAAAUACCGAGAAAUGAUGUAGAUGGAUCGUACGCGAGCCACUCGGUGGCCAACUCGGUAAGGUUGAUUAUGGUGGAAAACGAAGGUAAAAUCUUCAAGGACAAAGCUAAAGAAAUUAGUGCAAUAUUUGGAGAUCAGGAUUUGCAUGACAGUUACCUACACAAGUGUGUAGAUUACUUGGAAAAUAAAAGACAUGAAUCCAAAUAAGAACUGUCUUGGAAACUUUUGUGCCCAUUCUGCCAAGACCACCAUUAGUGUCAAAUACAUCCUAUCUGAUACACUUUAUUUAGCAUCUAGCUUUAGGAAAAUCAUCCUUAUCAAAGUUGAUAGAUUAGAAUAAUCUGUGGCACAUGAGCUGGCCACUUGUACCAGACGUUUGUAAUCUUGCUUCUUUUAAUAUAUUUUGCGUUGCUUGAUUUAAAAAAUGUAUCCAUUGUGGAUUUUCUUUUGUAUUUUUAAUUUAGUUGUUACUGAAAUUACAUCAUUUCCUUCACUGAGAAUGCCCAUUACAUCUUGUACAAACCGUCCAGAAAGGUUUAUCAUCAUAAUUUGGCAAAAAAAAAUGUAAGGUUCAGAUCAUAUCUUCUACAUCGAUUUUAAUAUCAUAUGUGAGAUUCACAAAAUUUUGUUCUAUAUUUACAAUAUAUUGAAAAUGAAUUACAUUCUAAACAAAUAAAAUUAUGUCCUGUGAAAUAGAACAAAAAUCAAUCCAAACAAUUUUUCUGAUGACCUUUUAAGUCCCCAGCUAGCCCCCACUUAAACCACCCCACCAUUCGCUUAGUCAAAAGCAAGAACAAAGACAAGAUGGCAGAAUCCAUCCAUAUGAUUGUGUCUAUUGUUCUCGAAAUAGUCGAUAAUAUAUAUAUAUAUAUAAAAAUUUCUUCAAUAAAAUCCAGAUUUAUGUGUAUUUGUUAGGGGUGUUAAUUAGGUUUUUUGAGUCGGAUUUUAGCAAGUCCAAACUUGGUUCAUAAAUUAUACAAAUUUUUGGGUUUCGAACUUUCGGGCUCUGAGUUCAUAUUAAAAAUCUCAAGUUUAGCUCAAGCUAUUAUAUGAGUUUCAGGCUCAAAUUGAAUUCGGUACAAACUCAUAAUUAAAUGGACAAUUAUAUAUAAUAUAUAUUUUAUAAUUAUGAAUUAAUACAAAUUCAUAUAUAAGUCAUUAACAUUUUAUGUCAUAGUAUGUAUAAUUAUAAACUAUAGAUAUUAUUAUACAUAUUUUACAUAUGUGAUUAUACUCAUAUAUGGAUUGGACUUUAAUUGAAUUUGAGUCUAGUUUGAUUCAAAUUCAACCCAAAUUUAGUUUGGCCCUAAUAUUUAAGUUCGAAAUUUGUCCGACCGAAUUAAAACUUAGGUUCAAUGAACUUUUCGAGCCGAACUUGAGCUGAUCGGACUUCAUUGACAAUGCUAGUAUUUGGAUAAGAGAUUAUUUUAAUAAGAUAAUAUUUUGAAAAAAUAUUGUAAUACAUUUUAUAAUAUAAUUUAUAUGAGAUAAAAAAGUGAUUGAAGAGAUAAAAAGAUAAUUAAAAGAUAUAAUUUCGAUGCAAUUAAUUAAAAACUCGUUUGGAUUGCUAAUCAGUAGGUUCUAUCUUUCCUUCAACACUGUGCGGCUACAUGUUCACUGUGACUUGACGUUGAUUUUGACGAGAUCAACAACAAUUUUCCGAAGGAAAGACAUCUAAAAAUGAACAAUAGAGUGGAUGCAGAAGAUGAUUUGGACUUUGGAGAGCAUUCCUAAGAACGAGUAAAUGGAUAAAACACCUCACCACUGGACAAACAAUUGUUGGACUUUGGACUUUGGAGAGCAUUCCUAAGAAGACCAAUAACUUAGUAGCCAAGCAAUAUCGAAAGAAGGCAAUAAGCACAUAUCCUCCAACAAAAUCCCAUUUAUUUCUAAAAAAGGAAAAGAAAAGUUCCAUUUAUUUAUUCUAAACUAGGCUUCAACUCCUAUGUAAGUAGUUGCAUGGCUUUCUUAUUCUUUUUUUUUUUUUUUCUCUAGUUUUCGUACUGACAUAAAAACUCAAACAAUAGAAUUUUCCAAGUAUGAAUUAUGUAAUUCUCUGUCUCCAAAAAUCAAACUUAAUUCCUUUGCCUUUUCUCUGCGUCUCUUCCCAUCAUUUUCAACCAUGAUCAGCCUCACUGACUCGGCCACAGAGUCACUCGUGUACAACCCGGUUUCCUCAUCUCUUGGAACUUCUAUCCCAACUCCGUUAUCUUCUAGAACCCUAGCAUUAAGCCCUUGAUCCACCAAGAAGGGCAGCAUAACAAGAGGAAGCCCAAGCAGAAUCCCCUCCACGCAGGAACUCCAACCACAGUGAGUCAAGAACCCUCCCACCGAUUCAUGACCCAGUAUCCUCAUCUGCGGUGCCCAUCCUUUCCACACGAGCCCCCUUCCCUUGACUCGCUCUUCAUACCCAUCUGGCAACUCAAAGGGCUCGUUUGACCCGGCUGGUUUCCUUAAAGCCCAAAAGAAUGGCAACCCCGAUGACUCCAAUCCGAGUGCCAACUGAGUCACAUGGGAUUGAUUCAGUGCGACCUCGCUCCCCAAUGCAACGUAAAUUACUGAGCCUCUUUCUUGAACUUCAAGCCAUGAGCUAAUGAAAUCCCAUGUUUCAUUUUUCUCGUCUGAGCCGUUGACGUGAGUCGGCGGUGGCAUUAAGCCGAGUGGAAUAAACGGCUUUUGAUGAAGCUCUCCAAGCAAAUUUAACCACGCGCCUUCGAACUCUUGGCAGUGCCUUAUUAGAAUCGAGUCAGAGCCGGCCACGACUUUGCCGGCGCGGUAAAUAUCGGAAACGCCGGAGACAUUCCUUUCAGCGGAGCUCAACAUCCAGUUCGCCUCAAACGGCUUGUAAGCCACUUUAUUCUUAAACGGGACCCACUUAGGUGGGACCAAGAAAUCCUCUGCCUUUUUCCUGGGAUCUGGCCCGUCCACCAUCAUAUCGGUUGGCCCAAAAAAUGCAAAAAACCAAGCGUUGAAGAUACAAAAAUAGACACGAGAAAUCCCAAGCUUAGCAGCGGCUUCAGGCAGCCAAUAAGGGGCGAAGUCGUAAAUAAUCAUGUCAGGAACUGAGUCCUCCAAGAAACGAGUCAACUCGGGUUGGAGCCCGUCAUAGGCUUUCUUGAGAUGCUCAACAUCUUCGGUGCGAACAUCCAUAGUGGCCUCCGCAUUUUCAGGGAGCCCUUUAACUUUGGGUAGUGGAAUUUUAACUAAGGUGAUAGAAGUAGCUAGUUCUGGUGGGAUUUUCGGGAGGCGGUCGAUGUUUUUCGGGGUGGAAAUGAAGGAAAUUCUGUGACCCUUUUGGACUAAGAAUUUGGCAUAUUCUAAAAAUGGAAUUAUGUGACCAAAGGCUAGCCAUGGGAACAUAGCUAUGUGUAGCUUAGCUUCUUGAGCUUUGGCCAUGGGGUUCCAAGAAUCAGAAACCAUGGUUGUGGAGCUAACGGCUUCUGUUUGGUUCUUGAAGUUAAAAUCAUGGAUUAACGUCGCCAUAUAUGGCGGGGAUGAGCUAUGCAAAGUAUUGCAGGAUAGCCAAUGGGAGUAUCUGUUCGUUUUCAGAUGUUGCUUUGUUCGAUGCCUGCAAGCCAAUUUGAACUUGUAUAUGCUAUUUAUAAUGAUAGCAGAUGUUUUUUUUCCUGCAAACUAGAUUGCUGUUCAUAUUAGACUAUUUGCAAAAGAUUUUUGAAAGGGAAUAAAACUCCCUCACCUCUAUUUGAUAUUCACACAUUCUCACUACCUCAACUUAAAUUGGUCAAGAUGCAAUGCAUGUUAUGGUGAUGAGAGUGCGUGAAUUUCAAAUAGAGAUGUGCGAGUAUUAUUGCCCAUAAAUUAGUUUUGGAAUGUAUGUUUCGUACUUAACCAAAAACCAUAUCAAUUGUUAUUGUGAGUUUGUGAUUGGUGUGUUUAAUAUAGUCAGCUUUCUCGAUUUCGUUAAAAAAAAUGUAGAUUUGAUUACUACUUUUCCAAGCCAAGCAACAUUAUGCUUUGCCUAACUUUUGGGAAUUUGAGACAGAACUAUUACUUAUUAAUUCUUCUAGAACUCAUUUUUGGAGAAAAAUACUCGUGUAGGCUUGGUCUAUAGUUUACUUAUAAAUCAUGUGAUAUAUGUAAUAGCUAUAACGUAAAAAAAAAAAAAAAAAGAUAGUGACUAACGUAUACACGAUGAGAUAAGAAAAUUCAUGCCAUCGACUAUUACAUCUCGCACAUGGUCUGCAAAUAUUCCAGUCAACCAAGCCAGACAAGUAUUUGUUUCUUCCUUGGACUACUUGUCAAAACAGCCAAACCGAAAAGUACAGACCAAAACAUUGAAUUACCAGCCACUCAAAAUUUCACAACUGGGCGGAAAGACGUUGGCAAAUGGAACUUUUCUUCUCAAAAACUGGGUAGAUUUGAGAAGGUGAAUCACUUGCCCGAGUGGAAAUUGAUAUCACACGGCCUAGAGAAAACAAGUAUAUGUACUUUUGUUAAUAAGAACUGCCUCACGCAAUUAUAUAUUCGAGCAAUUUUUUUAUUUUUUUUGGUUUAAUAAGAACUGCUUCAUGCAAUUAUGUGUUCCAGCACCACAGCAUUAGGCGCCAGCCAUUGUCGUAGCUAGACUAGUGCUAGUAUGAUUUUGCCCCAAACCAAACUACUGGCCCACGGAAAUUUUGUUUCAAGACGAUAUCAUUCUUAAAUUCAUUUCCCCGUCAUGUUUUACGCUACCAAAUUUCGAGUAUUUGACUUGACAUUGGCCUUUGAGUCGGUAUUGUCUUUAUAAACAUAAAACACACGACUCUCUAUGUAGGAACGUGAUUCAUGGGAUCUGUGCAGUCAAAAUCCAGCGGGGGUGAGAAUCUUGCUUUUAAACAAGGAGCAGCAGAGGCGGGACCUGUCCACCGUUUCAUCAUCUUCUAUACUUAAAUUAGUAAGGUAGAGAGUGAGAGAGGCCGUUGCUUGUUACUUCACUUCAAACGGGAAAGAGUCAAGGGUACUUACAGUUUGGAGAACCGACUUUAAUUGUAUUUAGAAAAGUGUAUUCGACAUAAUUUUUUUUUUUUAGGUCUGGAGGCUAAUACCUCAGAGCUUUGCCUCAAAAAUACCCAACAAUGAUAGCACGUAAGGAUCGAAGCUGGAACUUUACUAUAAUUAUAGACGAUCAGUCCCAACCGAGCUACCCACGAAAGGCUAUUCGACGUAACUACAUGAGAGUUAUCUGCAAUGCCGUCUCCCUAACUCAUCAGAUGUCAAGGUGCUAAUGCGAAUUAAAUCAAUCAUAUUCUUGGCCUCCUCGUCCGAGUAAAAGAUCUAGAUGACUUGGGAAAGGACAUCUUGGAAACUAAUCCGAACAACUAGUACGACGCUUCUUGGAUCUAGGUCCAAAAUCAAAAUAGAGUCUGGUACUUGUUCGGUAUUCCAAUAUCGGGAGUAGAAGUGUUGUUAAUAUUAUUAUUAUUAUUAUUAUUAUUAUAGUAAUGGUAGCAGUAUACAUAUAUGAGUGUGUCUACAGUUUUACGUAACAAUUUCUGAUACAUGGUGCAUUAAUUCUGGCAAUGAGAAAUUAAAGAGAAUUUGGAAACUUCCCAGAUUUUAUAUCUUGAGCAUUACCUAGCAGAUCAUCCAUGAUUCCAAUUGCAUGUGUUUGGGAGUUCAAGACAACUCAUGGUGUAUUAGGUUAAAGUAUCUUCCUCGUUUAUUUUAGCACUUUAAAAUUUUUAAAUUUCUAUAUGUUAGUUUUUUGUGUGAAGUAUGAUAUGGUAUGAUCAUAUAUGAGAAAAGUUAAAUAAAUCAACAUAAGUUAUUGAUACACAAUGAUUUCUGUUCAAAAAACAAUUAUAACUAAUCGGUGACCAAUUUACUUAGGGGUGACAAUGGGGCGGGGUUGGGGCGGGAGAACCUUCCCCCACCCCCCACCCCGUUGUCAAACCCUUGUCCCGCCCCCGCUCCCGCCCCGUUUCCCCUACGGUCUCCUACGGAGAAGAAAUCAACUUAUCAUAAAUGUUCAUUUACAAUAAUACAAUUGUGAACAAUGUUAAAUAAGAUUAAAAAACUGUCAAUAUGAAAAUAAAGUAUAACAAGUCAAGUUACAUUCAGUGCGGAGGAAGGGAACUGAUCGAAAUAAAAAAGGGUUAGGAGCAAAACAGGUUGGAAUUGGAUAGUUUAGUCUUGGGGGGGCGUUAGAAACAAAUUAACAAUAGUCCAAGAAAUUUCUUCAGUUGUUGCGGCGGCCGUUGACAUUGACUAGCAUUGUACUUGUAAGUAAGGAUGCAACUUUUGAAAAUUUAGGAUUGUAUUAUAUAUAUAUAUAUAUUUUAAUUGUAUGCGGGGAACGGGACGGGGGAUGGGGCGGAUGUAUGUUUCCCCACCCCCCGCCCCGUUUUAAGGCGGGGGGGAAAUAUUUUGACCCUGCCCCAUUUCUACCCCCGCGGUGCGGGUUCCUACGGGCACCUACCCCCAUUGCUAUCCUUAAAUUUACUAGGUGAUAAAUUACAUCUUGUUAUAAAAUUUAUGAUUGUUUUCUCCUUGAUUUUGACCAAAUAUUUCAUUAAUUAAUAGAUUCUACUUAUAUUUGGUAAUUGGUGUUGGUUGCAGGAAUUCGAGCAAAAAGUAAUAAAGAUGUGAUUUUUAACUGAAUUUUUGUGCGAUUCAGCAUGAUGCGUCAAGGUCCAAACCCUACAUGUCCAGAAAGUUCGGGGAUUUAGCACGUGAUCUCCAAUCUUAAAUUGAAGUCCUGGAAGUUAGAUUCUUCACCGAAUGAAUAGUCUCUUACUUUUGUUACAAUAGUAGUCUAGGCUAUUUUUAAGGACUCUUUAAAAAAUUAUUCGUUGGAUUAUUAGAAUUAGGACUUUGUUUUUAAAGAGUAGUUUAGUCGGAAUAGGAGACCAAGAAAAAGAGGAUUGUCGUAUAUCUUUUCUUCUUUUUUUUUCUCACGAAGUCAGGACAUCAUGGGGACUUCUUUGCUUUUCCUCAAGAAAUAAGAACGACGUCUUUUUCUUUUUCUUUUCUUUUUGGCGUUCCAUCCUAUAAUUGAAGAAUGGUUUCGACAAUUGAUUCAACUAUUUUGCGUGUGAUUUCUUCAAUGGAAAUGAACUAAACUUCUCGUUUUCUAGUCAAGGGACGAUGGAGGAUUUGGUUCAACUAAAAUUAUAAGAUCAAAUUGAUUAUAUUUAUUUUUUAUUUACUGGUAUUCGUAUGCUCUCUGAUUUAAUUUUUUAUGGUUAUUAUAUUAUUUGAAUAUCUAGGACCUGGUGUUUAAAUUAAUCUAAUAAUCUAAAACAAUUAAAGUAAUUAAAUUCAUAAUUUUUAAUUGUUUUAAACUAGUGGUAACUGACAUGAUUAGAUUUAUCGCAGAGGAACAUAUAGGCUAAUUUAAAAUAACCAUCAUAACGCGUUAUUUACUUAGAACAGAAAAUUGAACUCUACGGUCAUAGUUAGAGUUAUUUUUUGAUUAGGACAAUGGUUAAUAGUCGCACCUCAAUCACCAAUACAUUAAGGAGAAAUUGAUUACCAUCGAUUGUUUAGCAAUUAUAACUUGUUUAUCAGUGCGUAAAUGGAAUUAUCAUUAUAUCAAUGAUCAAUUGAAUGAAUCAUAUCCGAAAUUAUUUCUUGGUUAGAGUUUAUCUAUUAUUACUUCAAUUUUAAUAAAUUGUCAUUUAGUUUUUAUAUAUUUAUUUUAAUUGAGUUGUUUUAAUUAUUUCCAGUUUAUAAAAAUCUCCCAUAUUCCAAGCUCUAGAAGAAACGAAUUUUUUCCAGUCCCUUGAAUUCGAUCCUACUCAUCGUUAUAUAUAAAAAUUUAUAUUUUAUUUGAAUAGAUAUUUAUUAUUGUAGAAGAUAUGACACCCAUCGCUAGGGACGGAGAGAGCACUAGGCAAAGCUGCCCUUGACAACAUGCUAGCUUUAGGUGUCAAAGUUUGAUUAGGCUGCAUGGAACUUCUGCGAAGUUUGUCUGGACGUUAUUUGUGCAUGAAAAGCCAAAAAUGGUCGGGUGGCUCUGACUAGCUUAAGUGAAAAGAAGUUACAAUUGACCAAACUAAUAAAAAGGAUCAUUGGAUUUAAAUCUCCACAUUUGCAAAAAUCACCCACUAUUGCUCAAAUCCAUGGGAGGAGCAUUACCGCAUUAGUUUGACAUACGCACAACCUGGCCAGUAAAACCACCUAUCUCACGAAUCUAUUAAAAGAAAAAAAAAUCUACAGGGGAUGGAAGGACUGGGUUCUUUAUCUUCAUAAGGAUUUUAGACAUCAUAUAGGAGGCUGAUCAUUAGCAGAAAUAGUGGGGGAGCUAGUAGUCAAGGUUAAAGGAAACAACUGUUUUAGUAUAGAAUACAUUAUUAUUAAAGGCAAUAGAUAUAUGUAUAUAUAUAUAAUGAAUAAUAACAUAGAAAUGUAUAGACAACUGGUACGAUAGUUUUUCCAAUAUUUUCAAAAUUAUAAAAUGUUUCACUGACAUAAAUAAUGUAAGGCCGGGUGCAACCCAAUGAGUACAAACAAUUUCACAAUGAUGCACAAAAAUAUAUCAAAUUUAAGCACAAUAAAGAAAACUUAAUUAAAGAGAAAAGAUAAGAAAUGCAAACCAAAUAUCAAUCCAAUAGCCUCUUCAAUAGAUGGCGAUGCUAACCAAGAUGUACAAGUGAAGGCUCACUCCUUCCUCACUCCAAACACUCUUUGGUUGAGCCAAGGAGUUUUACAACUAUUCUAGUUAACCCUCAACAACCUACACUUGAAAGAUCACUCACCCAAUUAAGAACUAUUUUAUACAAAUGAGGCAACCUUCACCAAAGUUUUACCACUUCAAGUGAUAGGUUCACCUUCACCAAGGUUUUACUCCACUUAGAGAGUAACCUUCACUUGAGCAACCUCACAACCCAACUUUCCCAACCCCUUAUACAACCAACAAAGAAUCUUUCUACUCAAAAAUCUCACUUGUAAGCUUGUAUUUUGUGUUGGCAAACGUCCUCUGCCUUCUUGUGUUUUGGGGUAUUUAUAGAAGGUGAGAAAUGACUCCAAAAGGCUCUCCAACGGUCAAAUAUUAAAUGCUGUCGAAACUAGCCGUUGGCCUGUCGGACGUCCGACAGCUUAGUCAUCGUCCGAUCCCAUCGUCCGAAAAAUCAGUCAAGUUGUUGUUCGGACGUCCGAUGGGAUUUUAUCGUCCGAACUUCUGUGUCCGAACGUCGUCCAGAGAGUUAUCAAAUUUUCGUGGAAUUUUUAGGACGUCCGAUGAGAUUGAUGUGCGUCCGAAGCAUGCGUCCGAUCCAUCCGGACGUCCGAUGCUUCCUCACGAGCGUCCGACAGAAUUUCCUUCUUGAUGUUCUUCAUCCUUUCGGACGUCCGAUAGCUUCCUUUCGGACGUCCCACAUGAGUGCCCUGUUUUUGCUUCUUCUUUUGUGCCACAAGAAUCUGUUCUAACAAAUUGCUCACAUAAAAACAUUAGCCCAAAUCUACAUUUUGGUUUGUUAAUCAUCAAAACCAAGGACUGAUCAACCAAGGUCAACAAUCUCCCCCUUUUUGAUGAUGACAAACAAAAUGAAAAUUUCUUUGAUCAAAUAAGUUCAAAUAAAACUCCCCCUUAGAAAAUGCCAACAUACAAAGAAACUUCAAUAAGUCCUACUCCCCCUUUUGGCAUCAAUAUAAAAAUAUUAGCCCAAAUCUACAUUUUGGUUUGUUAAUCAUCAAAACCAAGGACUGAUCAACCAAGGUCAACAAUCUCCCCCUUUUUGAUGAUGACAAACAAAAUGAAGAUUUCUUUGAUCAAAUAAGUUCAAAUAAAACUCCCCUUAGAAAAUGCCAACAUACAAAGAAACUUCAAUAAGUCCUACUCCCUCUUUUGGCAUCAAUCAAAAAGCCAACUUCCCCUUUAUUUUCAAGUCAAGACCAUAAUAGGGUCCUUGGGAGUUAUUACAACAUGAUCUAGCAAUCCACAUGGAUUUCAUACCUUUUCUCAUAUUUUUCUUUACAUAGCAAUCAUUUUGCAUAUGUCCAAAUUGGCAACAAAAGUGACACAUGAUAGAAGUAUUUUGCACAUACGUGGAUUUAAUGCAACUAAUUUUCUUACUUCUUAUCAUAGCAAACUUAUUUGUACCUUGAAAAGAUUUGCUUUCUUUUGUUUGAGAAAACGUUUGUUUUUCAUUUUGGAGAAACUCGUUCAAAUCAUUAAUUCUUUUCUUUAACACAUUUUGUUCCUCCAACAUUUUUUCAUAAAACUUUGUUUUCUCUUCCAACUUCCUUUUCAAAUUAUUUUUGCAAUCAAAAACACUUUUUUGAUUUUUUAAAUCAUCAUUUUCCAUUCUCAAACAUUUGUUUUCUUGAAAAAGUUUGGAGUUUUCUUCCAACAAAUCAUUUAUUUUUGUUUUCAAAUCUUUAUUUUUAGCAUAAGAUUUUCUCAAACUUUUAUGCAUUUUAAUCAUAAGAAUUUUCACAUCAUCAUCUUCAUUAUCUUCAUCACAAGAAGAGUGAUAAGAACUUACAUCAUCUUCUCCAACGGCCAUUAGUGCCAUUUGGGCCAACUCUUCUUUUUCUCUUUUUGAAUUGCAUUCAUCCCAUGUAAUUUUGCAAUCUCCUCUUGAACAUCUCUUGUUGAAGAUCUUCUUGAAACUUUUGAUGUGAGGAGUUAUAUCAUUGUCCACUUCCAUGAUUUCAUUACCCAUGAAGGAUGGGUUAUCCCCCACUUGAGAUGCUUUAAAAGCUAUGCCUCUCUUAUACAUUCUUGCAUUUUCUUCCUCUUGCACUUUGAAUUUCAGCUUUAAUUCAUAAGAGGUUAGGGUAUCCACAAGAGAUUCAAUGGACAUAGAAUUUAAAUCCUUUGCCUCUUCUAUAGCAUUUAUUUUGUUUUCCCAUUCUUUUGGCAAGGCAUUCAAAAUCUUUCUAUUUUUCUCACCCAAAGAAUAUUCUUUUCCAAGCAAUUUAAGAUCUUCAAUAAUGUCACAAAAUCUACUACACAUCUUAUCAACAUUUUCAAGAGGAUGCAUUUUGAAAAAUUCAUAUUGAGAAACAAGCAAAGAUUUCUUUUGUUCUUUAAUAUCUUGGUUACCUUCAUGAAAUACACACAAUUUAUCCCAAAUAUCUUUAGCUGAUUUACAACCUUUAAUCCUACUAGAUUCAUUUACAUCUAAUGCAUUGUACAAUAUACACAUGGCCUUGGCAUUCAAAGAAAGGUAUCUCUUGUCUUUUUCAUUCAAUUCUUGUCUAGUCUUUAAUCUACUCAAAUUGGUGGUAGAGUCAACUAUUCUAGCUUCAUAAGGACCAUCUUCUACCACAUACCAUAAUUCAAUAUAAACGGAUUGUAAGAAAAUCAUCAUUCUUUGUUUCCACAUGCUAAAAUGAGAACCAUUAAACAUAGGUGGUCUAUCAAUAGAUUGCCCUUCUAAAAAAGAAACUUUUAUGGUUGCCAUGAUCUUUACUCUAAGCGGUUAAGCUUGAUCAAAAGAGACCAAGCUCUGAUACCAAUUGUAAAGUCCGGGUGCAACCCAAUGAGUACAAACAAUUUCACAAUGAUGCACAAAGAUAUAUCAAAUUUAAGCACAAUAAAGAAAACUUAAUUAAAGAGAAAAGAUAAGAAAUGCAAACCAAAUAUCAAUCCAAUAGCCUCUUCAAUAGAUGGCGAUGCUAACCAAGAUGUACAAGUGAAGGCUCACUCCUUCCUCACCCCAAACACUCUUUGGUUGAGCCAAGGAGUUUUACAACUAUUCUAGUUAACCCUCAACAACCUACACUUGAAAGAUCACUCACCCAAUUAAGAACUAUUUUAUACAAAUGAGGCAACCUUCACCAAGGUUUUACCACUUCAAGUGAUAGGUUCACCUUCACCAAGGUUUUACUCCACCUAGAGAGUAACCUUCACUUGAGCAACCUCACAACCCAACUUUCCCAACCCCUUAUACAACCAACAAAGAAUCUUUCUAUUCAAAAAUCUCACUUGUAAGCUUGUAUUUUGUGUUGGCAAAAGUCCUCUGCCUUCUUGUGUUUUGGGGUAUUUAUAGAAGGUGAGAAAUGGCUCCAAAAGGCUCUCCAACGGUCAAAUAUUAAAUGCUGUCGAAACUAGCCGUUGGCCUGUCGAACGUCCGACAGUUUAGUCAUCGCCCGAUCCCAUCGUCCGAAAAAUCAGUCAAGUUGUUGUUCGGACGUCCGAUGGGAUUUUAUCGUCCGAGCUUCUGUGUCCGAACGUCGUCCAGAGAGUUAUCAAUUCUUCGUAGAAUUUUUAGGACGUCCGAUGAGAUUGAUGUGCGUCCGAAGCAUGCGUCCGAUCCAUCCGGACGUCCGAUACUUCCUCACGAGCGUCCGACAGAAUUUCCUUCUUGAUGUUCUUCAUCCUUUCGGACGUCCGAUAGCUUCCUUUCGGACGUCCCACAUGAGUGCCCUGUUUUUGCUUCUUCUUUUGUGCCACAAGAAUCUGUUCUAACAAAUUGCUCACAUAAAAACAUUAGCCCAAAUCUACAUUUUGGUUUGUUAAUCAUCAAAACUAAGGACUGAUCAACCAAGGUCAACAAAUAAUGUUAAAGUAAUGAUAUGAUUAAUGUUUUUGUACAUUAGACAGGUAUAGUUCUUAAAAAUAAAUUCAAAUGUAAAUCAUUCAUUCAAUGGCAAUCCGUUUGGAUUGUAAAUAUUGUAGGAGUUUUGUAGAAAAAAAAAAACACUAUUGUAACAUUGUUUUAACAUAUGAUGUAUGUGAGGUAAAAAGAUGGUUGAAAAUGUGUUAAGGAAUAUUCUCAUAGAAACUCAAAAUAUUUUCCAUGAAGAAUAAAUUUUAAUGUUUUCAACUACAAAAAAAUCCAAAAAAAAAAAAAAAAAUAGCGCACAAAUGUAUACAUAAUCAUUUCUUUCGCUGGAAAAACUAAAUAAUAAAAAUCAAAGAUUGAAAGGUUAGUUCUGUUUUUUUAUAACUCUAGCAUCAUAAUACUUGUAUCAGGCUAAUCUUCAUCUGAAUAAAAUUCUUCACAAGCAACAGUUUGAAUUGACCAAAUCCAAAUUGAAUAAGAUUGGUGCAAUAAGUAUAAGAUCCGUAAUCCAAGGUACUAAUUAAUUAAGAAUCUAAUUAUGUCCAGCAAUGACGUUUAUAUAAACAACUAUGCCGUCCAAAACACGCUAAGAUUCAUUUAUAUUUAAUUAUCAACUCCAACGUUAUACUACACCGGCCACUUAAUUAAGUACUUUAAUCUUAUUCAAUUCCAGUUUUUCUAUUUUGUUGUUUGGAUAUAUUACUGCAACAAUUGUUCUUCUCUGCAUCUGUACAGCCUUGUCCUCAAAAUUUGGCAAGCCAGUGUAGCAAUUAGCCCGGGAGAGAUUAAUUAUAGAGCGAUUAAUGGCUGACAAUAGGAAAUUACACGUAGCAGUGUUCCCAUGGCUAGCAUUUGGCCACCUGAUUCCAUUUUUUGAGGUGGCCAAAUUCAUAGCUCAAAAGGGCCACAAAAUUUCCUUCCUAUCCACCCCUAGGAACAUGAAUCGCUUGCCAACUUUGCCUCCAGACUUAGUCCCGUGUUUUGAUUUCGUUAAUCUCACAUUACCAAGGAUAGAAAACCUUCCCGAAAAUGCAGAGGCCACUAUGGAUGUUCCCCCUGAAGACAUCCAUUUUCUCAAGAAAGCAUUUGAUGGUCUUGAAGAUGAGUUGACUCAGUUCCUUGAGUCUUCAACUCCUGAUUGGAUUAUUUACGAUUUUGCUCCUUAUUGGUUACCUCCCAUUGCUGCUCAGCUUAGAAUUUCUCGUGCCCAUUUCUUUGUGAUUAAUGCAUGGUUUUUGGAUUUUUUUGGACCAACAUCGGUCAUGAUCGAUUCCCCCAAGAAAGAUUUGACUCUUAAGGAUUACACUGCCCCCCCGAAAUGGAUUCCAUUUCCUACGAAUUUAGCAUAUAGGAUGUACGAGUGGAAACGGACUCUGGAGACGUCAAACAAGCCUGGAGGGAGCGUUACUGAUACGUAUCGGCUUGGCUCGGCCAUAUCGGGGUGUGACAUGAUUAUAAUUCGUCACUGCUUCGAGUUUGAACCGUUAUGGUUGAACCUGCUCGAAGAACUUCAUCAUAAGCCAGUCAUUCCACUCGGUCUCAUGCCACCAGGUGAUCAAGAAAUUGAAACCAUUGACAAAAAUGAAUCGUGGGUUGCAAUCAAGGAGUGGCUUGAUGAGCAGAAGAAGUUGUCUGCGGUUUAUGUAGCUUUGGGGAGUGAGGUGGGACUGAGUCAAGAUGAACUCACUGAGUUAGCUCUUGGAUUGGAGCUGUCAGGUUUAAGCUUCUUCUGGGCUUUAAGGAGGUCUGAUUCGUUGGAGCUACCAAAUGGGUUUCUGGAGAGAGUUAAGGACCGAGGGAUUGUAUGGGAAACUUGGGCUCCCCAAUCCAAGAUACUAAGUCAUGACUCGGUCGGCAGUUUCUUGACCCACUGUGGCUGGAGUUCUAUAAUUGAGGGACUUGAGUUUGGUCGAGCACUAAUAAUGUUACCAAUAGCUGUUGAUCAAGGUUUGAAUGCAAGGAUUCUGGUGGAUUCAAAGGUGGGUGUAGAAAUUCCAAGAGAUGAAAAUGAUGGUUCUUUCACUAGAAAUUCUGUGGCCGAGUCAGUUAAGAAAGUAACAGUUUGUGAAGAUGGUCAGAUUUUCAGGGAUAAAGCAAAGGAACUGAGUUAUGUAUUUGGAGAUAAAGAUAUGCACAAUAGGUACAUGAUAAUGAUAAUGAGUUAAUAAUGUAUUUGGAAAAUUGGACUGUGAAUUAUGAUAAUGAUCAAUUUUUGUGUUUUGUUUUGUUAUAUUAUGUUGUUUCUCAUUGUUAAAGUGUCAUGUUGGUAAUAAUGGUGCCAAUUCUUCAAUUCCCCUGCGAAAAUGUAUCCAGUGGGGUACAUUGCAUGUCACAGUCUCAAGGGGAAAUGAGCUACGGAUAGAGAUUAAAAUAUCCCAAGUUUAUAACCCAUGACAUAUGUUCUUGGGAAAAGAGACCAAUGAACUUGAUCAAUAUAUCCAAAUCUUGACCUCCAUGUCAAAAUUACUUGCCCCAAUAUUGCACUAAAAGUGCUUAAAAUAAAUGAAAGUUUUGUAGGAGUAUUUGUAUUAGAAUCUUUUCAACAUAAGAUUUUGAUAGCUAGAAAAACUGAUACAUCUCAAAAAGUAAUGAUUAAAACAUCUAUGGAGAACCCAAAAAGAAAAAAGAAAAAAAAAUAAAAAAGAUUCAUGAUAAAAAAAAAUGUAGCAAAAUUUGAGCUACUGAAAAGUACAUUUGAGUUUCGUACUAUUUCCAAAAAUAGCAAAUUCUUCUCUAUCAUAAGAAAUGAUGAAGGUCCAAUAUCAAUUAUUGGAAGCAUGAUUCAUGUCGUUUACCCCUUAAAAGAAAUUGACAUGCAAUUGAACAGAACAUGAAUCAUAUGGGUAAGCGCCAGAAUGAAGACUAUAUAGCCUGUAAUUCAGCAAACUAAAUCAUUGAUAAACUUUAGCUUCUUAUAAACCUCAGUAUUAACGGGCCAACUCUCUGUUUGAAUUGCACGAAAACAAAGAAAUUCUGAAAUUUUUUGUAAUGCAUAUGCAUGCGUACCUUUAUCCAGAAAAUGUUAUACAAUAUAAUCUUGGGAAAAAUGCACUUUUCAUCUUCAAAAUUUGGGCUGUUGACUAAUUUCAUCCUCAAAGUUUCACCCAAAACACAUUUCAUCCUCAAAGUUACGUAAUUUUGGCCAAUUAAGGACAAUUGACGGGAAAUAAAGAAAUUGGUGUUAAAUCCAACUGUAAACCCAACAAAAAAUGGAUUUAACCGAAUGGAGCCAUUUUUUAACAGAACAAAAAUUGUUGCAACGGACGAAAACCAACAUUCUUCUCCUUCUUCCCUCUGUCUUUUUGCAACCCCAAAUUUUUUUUCUCAAUCUCUGGAUUUCUUAGACGUUUGCAAAUGCCAAAUCCAGUUGUAAGGUUCGUUUACUUGGUGGAGGUUGAUUUCCACCACAUCCCCAUCCCUAACACCCACCUUGGUUUCUUCCUCCUUCACCUCCCUAUCUCCAACCGUCUCUUUCACCCCCUCUACCACCACCACCACCUCCUCCACUACUGCCGCCGCCAUCACCACCACUCCCACUUCCCCAACCAUGGCCUCCACCAUUUCCACCACCGCCGCCUCCUCCUCCACCUCCACCCCCACCCGCACCUCCACGUCCAUCUCCACCGCCACCACUGCCAGCACCUCUGCCACCACUACCUCUCCUUCUACCGCAUGUAUGUUUUCCUCUCCUUUUCCUCCUUCCACCACCUCUCCCUCCACUACCACUUCCACCGCCUCCACCUCCAUCUCCACUGCCGCCGCCACUACCGCCGCCGCCAUCCCCUCCUUCUCCUCCACUACCUCCAUAGUGCGCAACCUGAUUGCCAUUUACUUCCAGAACUCGUACCGUUAUGGUGAACAAUCACAUUCCCAUCCUUUGCAUGUUGACCAUUUCCACUCUCACUUCCCCAACCACCGCCUCCUCCAUUUCCACCACCGCCUUCUCCCCCACCCCAAAACAAUAGAUGGGAUUAUCUGAGGAUGGGUGGAGAGAUUGUGAAAUAUGGAUAUGAUAUCGAGCUUAGCCUGCACGCUUAGAUUCUGGAAACCGCGUUCUUCUGCCAAUUGGGAAUUCAGAGAUCCAACCAGGAUUUGGGCAGCCCCAUAUGCUGCGAUUGCUAACUUGUUAGCGGAGCAAGAAGAAAGAACCAAGAGGGCUGCUGCUGCAAGGUCAAUCAAUGACUCUUUUUGGCAUUGAAUGAUCUCCAACAAUAUUGGUAUGGCACCAGAAUUUGCAAUUCGGAUCUUGUUUCUGCAAAAUCAUAGCAAAAUUAGAUGGGGAACAAUUCUACAGCCAAUGCCUUCGGAUGCAACUUCAAAAAUUGCAAAAUUUAACUGAUGCAAACAAUACCUUUCAUUGUGAAAAGCUAGACAAUGCAGAGCAGAGUGCAGCUUUAGUGGCUUCAUAAACUUGCUUACGAAGCAUCGUAACGAGCCGAGAAAUGAUCCCUCUUUCUGCUAACUCUGUCUUAGUUUGGUUGCAAGUUUACCAAGUUCUCUGGCAGCUAAAAUCUGAGCUUCCCGUUCAUUAGAUAGAAGGGUUUCCACUAUCACAUCUUCCAUGGUUGGAAGCCCUCUAUCCCCCUCAGUCACUUCUCAACUCUCUUUAUGUGAAUUUGAAAAUAUAGAAAUUUAGUAUUUGAUUGCUUCAAGGUGGUGUAAGGUUUGGCUUUUGGGAAAAAAUUUUGGAGUUGCAGAAAGGCAGAGGGAAGAAGGAGAAGAAUGUUGGUUUUGGUCCGUUGCAACAAUUUUUGUUCUGUUAAAAAAAGGCUUCAGUCGGUUUAACCCAUUUUUUGUUGGGUUUACAGUUGGGUCUAACGCCAAUUUCUCUACUUCCCGUCAAUUGUCCUUAAUUGGCCAAAAUUACAUAACUUUGAGGAUGAAAUGUGUUUUGGUGAAACUUUGAGGAUGAAAUUGGUCAACAGUCCAAACUUUGAGGAUGAAAAGUGCAUUUUUCCCUAUAAUCUUUCUAAGACAAAAGUUUAAAAGCUCAUAUGCAGAUGGAUAGAUUUCGCGGUGCAUUGUGUAAUGAUAUUGCUCGAACAAGAUGCUCUGCUCUUCCUCAGACGAGUUUUACAAAGUCAAAUUCUUUACAGCGCGAAGCGAUAACAGGAGUAUGGUAGAAAAAUAUUCAGCAACUAGAGAGAACUAGGAGGUGUUUACCACGCGAUGCGCGGUAUAAGUUUAAAGAUUGCCCAGAAAAUGAGGAGGGAUUUUGUGUGAGGAAAACUUGGUUGUUUAUAUACCUAUUGUUUUUUUGGUUUGUGUUGAUUGCAUUUUGAUUUGAAUAGUAAAAAUUGAACUGGAAAGUGGAAAUUAUUUUAUUUGGAUGUUUGGCUUAGUUAUAUUUGUGGUAGUAUUGUGAUAGCGACAGAUAAUUAGUGCAAAAAUGAGAAUUUAUUGUAAAAUAAAUAAGUAUGUAAUAAAGGAGGAGUGUAAAGACAAAGAAAAUAAAAUAGGAAAUGUAGUUAUAAUACGCAGGAAUUAUGAUUAAAUAUACAUAGUGAAAAUCAGAUUAAAGGCAACAGUGAUGUACGCAAAAUAAGUAGAAGGUCAAUCAUUGAUGUUAAGGUUGUUCAUGUUAAUAUUCUCAGCAUUGAAAACUUCGUCAACCGAGUAGGAUGUGAUUAUCUCAUAAGCUGCACGUUUUAUGGGUCUGAAUUUGGAAGGAGAGGGCUUAAUGUAGCACAUGAGCAGUUUUCCUUGUAAAGUAUGCGCAAGGUAUUGAGCAAGAUCAACGCCCUGUUAUAAAAAAAUGAUGGAAGAAAACUGUAACGGGUUUAAAAAAGAAGCAAGAAAAUAUUUAGUUUGAAAAAGUAUCAGUGGUUACUUCUUGUUGUAAAUGGUAUAGUUCCACGGUUGAAUACUGAAUUAGCUUCUCUGCUUCAAUAUCCAUAGCAGUAGCACAUAAAUAUCCAGUUCUAUCAAUGAGUGAAAUUGCAAUGAGAGCUCUGCAACGAAGAAAUAGGCAGGUUUGCAGUUAGAAAUUGGAAGCGAUUAAAGUUGGUGAUGAAAGGAAGCAAGAGAAGUUAAUAAUUAUGUUUACCUAGGAACUAAAUCUACGUUAGAGUGGCAGUGUUGACAUGUAACAGGCAAAUUGCUUGCAAUUUUGCUUGGAUAGUAACAAAGGGGACAAGCUAUAUAAGUUAAGUUAUGAUGUACAUAAUCCAGCUCAACAACACCUUGAAUCCAGGCAGUCAUUGGUUUCUUUGAGAGAGAAGAAAAGGUAGAAGAAAGAGUCAAGGCUAAAAAAAAAGGAAAAAGCUGUGGAAGUGAAUGUAAAGGACAGUAUAUGUAAAUGUAAAUAUUGAAAUAGGAACAUUACCUAUUGAAGAACGGAAGCAAUAUGAGUGAUUCGAUUAUGGUUUACAGGAGGAAGAAGUAUACGUGGGUUAGUGUAACUGCUCUCAUUAAGCAUUCGUGCUAGGAUAUCGGCAUGGUAAUGAUGCCUAUGAUAAAAGCGAAAUAUUUAAGUUGUUAUAUAAUAAAGGAGAUAAUAACGCAGAAAGUGGUUAAAACGUUCUACCAGGAUUUUAAGUUGAUCGCCUGUUGAGCGGUCGGAGCUACCAAAAUCACCCAGGAAUGGUGAGUUGAGAGACUCAAAUCUGAUAUGUUUGGCAAGAAUAGGGUAAAAGUUAUAUAGGUGACAGAGAAUUUUUUUUGGAAAUGAUAGAAGUUUAGAAGACUCUUUAAAUAAUAAAGGUGAAGUAAGUGAGCACAAUGAUUUGUUGUAGCUUUGACUCUUAUGGCGAUGAUAAUUGGAAAAGGGUCUUCUGCUAAUGCAAUAGCAGGGCCAUAAUUUUCUUCAAACUCAUCUUGCAAAGUUAAUAUCAAAGGUUUCAUGCUGUGGAAUGAAUAACAAUAGAAUACGUUAUUGGAAAUUUGCACGAUUUUGAAAGAACGAAAGUGAAAAUUAGAUUGAUAAGUAAAUGUUUUACUCUUGAUUAGCAAUCACAUAGUCUCGAGCUACACGUGGUGUUCCUUGACCAGGGACAAUGUUGUUAGGUAGAGCAUGGAGUAUAACUCCCAUGACAGCUUAGGAAAACGGAAGAAGCGAAUAUAUUAAGAUUAUAAAAAAAUGUCAAGUAAGUAAGAUGCGGGGAAAAACAAGCAGAGGAUAAUGAUGAACUUACUUAUUAAUUGUUCGGUAUCAGCAAUUACGUCCAGCAUAGUAAAUGGAUAUAACUGAAAAUGCGAAGGGAGAGAGGGAUAAUCGAGCUGUUGAAUUUGAUGAAUUGAUGUAGCUUCAGUAACAAUCCAGUAAAAUGGAUAUUUGGUAGGAGGAGAAGCAUUGUGUAGUUGGUGAACAGAGGCUCCAGAAAUGUAGUAGCUUUUAAAUAGCAGCAGUAAUCCAGUAAGGCGAGCAAUCAUGUUUCCGAUAGCAUGCAUACUAACUUUCACACCCUGAUAUUAAGAAUUGUUAAAGGUGAUUAGUCCAUAACUAAAUAGUCAUGAGUUAAAAAUGGAAUUAAGCAUGUGUUACCUGCGAAUCAGCAAGCACAAAAGUGCAAAAGUUUUGUUGGAAGUGCGAAUUGUUUUUAAUAUGUCUAGCUUCUAUAACCUGGAGAGCAACUAUCCAGUUUGAUGAAUGCGGACGAACAGCGGACAGAGGGAUUACUACAGGGUGCAUUGUAGGAUACUCCAUAAUAGAAAUAUAAAAGAAUUAAAUGGGUGAAGUAUAAUCUAUACGAGUUAAAAGGGUUGCAGAAAAGAUAGAAUUGGAAUAGCAGGAAUGGAUAUGGUAAGAAGGAGAAGGAGAAGGAAGAUGUUGAUGUUAAAAGUAGAAUCAGAGGAAGGAAAGUAUUGUAGAUUGCUGUUUUGUCCUUGUAUGUUUUGGUGGAAUGCAUACAAAAGUGAAAUGGCUAGGUACUUAAGACACUGUGGUAAAUUUAUGUUUGAAACAUAAAAGUAUAGAAUUUCAAAAGCUGAUAUGCAUGCUGUCAUUUUCGUCCAAAGGUAAAGGUGUAGAGCUGUAGCAAGGACCAUUAUUCGUGAUAAAGUGUUCAGAAUCUGAAACGUUCACGUGUAUUCAUUCUUAGGUAGUGAAAAGUACAAAAUGUUGAUGAUAGGAAUAUCUUCAGAGAUUCAGUAAAUAUUUUGGACGUUUGCUGUAAAUUUUUUGCGAAGGCCUGACAAUUAUUGGAGCAUUUUAAUAUCGGUAUUGAUAAGUUAUAAAUUUAGUAUUCACUUAAGCAUUUGGAAUAAAGGAGCUGCAUAAUUAAUGGCGCACUUAUGUAAUGAGGUGGAAUAAAACUGAGCAGUGUUAUUGGAAGGAAAAAUGUUCUAGUACAUCAAUGGAAGCAUUUAAAAAGCCGCAGAGGCAUGAUUAGAUGACUUAAAAGAGGUUAAUUACAGCUUUAAGCAUCUGAAUAAAUGCCGAAAGUGUAAUACCAUGGAAAUAGUUUUUCAACUCCAUUAUAAUCAAAUAUUAAAACAGCAAAUGUGGUCUGUGAUUCUGGAAUAAACACAAGAGUGUCGUUAUGCUGCAAUUGAUGUUGAAGAGCGAAGCUUCUCCAGUUCUUUUUCAGGUGUUUCCCUCUGAUACCAAUCUCUGUAAUGUUAUUGCCAGUUUUGAUAAGCACGGUGGGAGUUCUUUCACUGUUGAAGAAGUGAGCAGUGAAUCUUGGAAUUUUCUAAUAAUUGUUAAGAAAAGUUAGAAUGGAAAACGGACAUAUAAAAAAAGGCUAAAGAAAAUAGAUGAAUGUGCAUAUAAUAAUAACUUACCAUUGAAUUUGGCGUUGCUGAAUGGAAAAUUUGAUAAAAACAAUGGAAAUCAGUUAUGUUUUGAGAAAAGUCUGGGUUUAAUGAUGAAGUGACAUCAUGGCGGUUAACUGAUAAGGAUGUGGUAGCUGAGGCCAUUAAACAGAUAAUACAUUAUAAAUAAUGAUAAUUGAAAUGAAUAUAGGAAAUGGAGGAGAACAUAUACAGGCCUUGCGUAUAGGUAGCGUUAUUCUCGAAAAUAUUUGGAAGUGGAACUGUCCAGGAUAAGUAAACUUGUUGUUGGAGUUCAGAGAAAUGAAUAACGUCGAAAAUAAGAUUUCCAGCAUGGCGAACCAUCAACAUAUCAUGUGUGUUAAUGAUAUUGUCAUGGCAAUAGUCAUCCCAUCCUUCUUCAAAGCAGCCAUUGGCAAUUGUGAGUGGCCAUUUUUGUAUUCCAUAUCUGAGGAUGAUUGUGUUCUUUUCAUGCUGAUGAAGUAAGAGUUGAAACUGGGCGGGAAAAAUCUGGAAUUGGUUGAUGGAGCAAUUAAAAGUAAGUAGACUAAUAAGAAUAUAUUAUAUUUGGAUAGUCUGAACGUUUUUUUUUCAUAAGGAAAGAAAAGGUUCACCUGUCCUCUAUGGCAACAUUUGAAGAGAAAGCAGCAAGGGGUUAAGUUGCUGGUUGGUUGGUGGGAAGCUGAGGGUGGAUCAAACAUAUUUUGUGCUAUGAAAGUGGCAGAAGAAGGAGAAGAUAAUAGGAGGAAAAGUUGGUAUGAUGCUAUUAAUAUAGACACCAAAAAUGCUGGUAAAUUUUGGAAUUAAAAGGAAAUAAGAAACAGUAGAGAUGGGUGCUUGUAGACAGCUGCAGCUUUUUUGUUUGAGGUGUAUGGUAUUGAAUUUUGGUACAUCACGUGUUGAAUAAAGGACUGACUAUAUAAAUAUAUUUAACGGAAAGAAGGAGAAAGUUUUUAUUAGUAUUGUUAACGCUUGGCGAUGUAUUUUUAUUAGUAUUUUUAUGGUGAUGAGAUUAGAUGCUUCUAACUUUUGGUGAUAGCUGGGUUAUGGUUAUUAGAUUGGACGGUUGUAGCCCUUCCUGAUUGGAGAUAUUUUUGCUUAAACUGGAUGAAUUUAUUGUUGCUUUUAUUUAUACUACAAAUUACAUAGCUUGAUCUGCUUUAUUUUACAUUUAAUAAAAGGACCCCUGCUGAUUUCAUAAUUUUGUUGUUUAAUAAAUAGUCGUAUAUCUUGGGAGAAGAGGAUCUCAGAGGAAGUCAGUGGCAAUGGUGUUGGCGAUGUAUGUAUCUUGUUAGCAGUCCAUGCAAUUGUUUGUUGUUACAUUUGCAUAACUGUGUACAAACAUGAACAUAAGUUGGCUGUACUUUGCAGGAUUUCAAGGGCUAGGGGUUCAAGAUAAUGGGUGGAUGUGAUAAGCAGGGUUUUGUCAUGAAAUAGAGAGGUUUGCCUCUUGGGUGUGUGUGUCUCUUGCUUCGUAGAGGUUAGAAUCUCCAUGAGGGAAAAAAUGAUGUAAUAGGCAUUAUUGCAAUUUGCAGUUACUUGAUGAACUGUAUAUUUAACUUGAUUAGGGACCCUAUGGUUUCGUGAUUAUGGGAGGAGAAAUAGCGAGCGCAGCAGCAAAUGUGCUGGCGGAUGUAUUGCUAGCGUUGAUCUCUCUGUGCUGAAUGUUGUCAUUGUUAAGAAAGGUGAGAAUGACCUGGCUGGACUCAUUGAUAUUGAGAAGCCAAGAAUGAGAGGUUUACAAAAGGCUUCGAAAAUUAGAAAGCUCUUCAAUGUGUUAAAAUAAGGGGAUCUGAGAAAGUAUGUCAAUACACACAGGAGGACGGUCACAAUAAAGGUUGAUGAGUUUUUGAUUUACUGUUAUUCUUUACUGCAUUUGUUCCUUUUCCAAGUCGAGAGCAGAAGCACUCUAGCGCGGAUUGUUGCUGAGUUUGUAUCAAUGUUUAUAUCAUUAAGUAAAAAGAAUAGCAAAGCUCGUAAGAUGCAGAGGUUGGUUGCUUCAUUGAUAUUCCAGAGCAAGAGAGCAAUAAUUGCUCAGAAAAAGAAGAGAAUUGCAAAGGUUAAGUCUGAAGGAGCCGAGUAUCAGAAGCUUCUUGCUAGCAGGCUAAAGGAGCAGGGUGAGAGAAGAAGUGAGAGUUUGGUUAAGAAGAGGUCAAGGUUAGUUGGAGGGUUGAAGACCUCUAUUGUUGCUUAAGUUAUGACCAUACUUUUCAUGUUCAUGUGUGCGAUUUGUAUGCUUCAUUUCUAUGCCUACGUUUGAGAAAUAUUUGCCUAAUACUUUCUUUUUUUUCCCUUGUAAUUGAUUUAAGUUUUGGAAGAAGGUUCCGUGAAACAGAGUGCAGCAUACUGUUUUUGUUUAUCUGAAAAUUCGAAUUGCAGCAACCUAGGAGAUAUCAGUGGUGAUUAGAUAAGCUGUUGCUAUAAGCAAUAGAAGCCGCAAUCUGAAUGAAUGAGAAAGUUUUAGAAAGCAGCACCGGAAUAAGUAGGCUUGUAUACAACUAAUAAUAAAUAAAGUUGACUAUUGAGGACAGCAGAUGCGUCGAAAGUUGCUGGUUCAUUAAUACAUACGUACAAAAGAAGAGGGUUCAUGAAAAAAUCAACGACCCUUGUAAGAAACUUGCCAAAAUGUAGGAGUGCAAACCAUUGGUAAGGCGCAUCUAUCUUAGGAAGACAAAAAAUGAAUAACUCUACUCUAGGUUAGUUUCGAUUUCUUGGCAGAGCUGGUGGGUUCAUCUGGAGAGUUGCCUGCGUUGAGCUUGUCUAAUUCAUCAAAUUUUUCAGAAAGGCGCAUGUGAGUCUUUGAAGGCGCAGGAUUUUGCUCUGGAGCAAGUUACAUAACAAAGAAUUGGUUAAGAAAUAGCAAGUAAAUAACAGUACAUGAAAAGAGAGCAUACGUAAUUAAAGCGUAAAAGGGUAAACAUAGAACAAACUUAAGUAGUCUUAAAGCUAGUGAGCAUAAUGCAAGUGUCUUGCUCUGUACGAGCACUAGGAAUAAGGUUAGGACAGAAUAGGUAUUAAAAACAUGAGAUGAACUUGCAUAAAUAAAAAGGUUUCAUUUUUCUACAGGACGUUGGCACAUAAAAACUAAGAAAGAAUAUCAUUUUUUAUUGAAUGCAUGCUGCACAAAAUACUUGAGGCAAAUAAAUGGAAGAAGAAGGCAAAAUUUGGAACUGAUAUCGCAAAUUGAAUAGAAGGUGAAACGGCCUAAAAAACAACAGAGUUAAGAGUUUGGACAAAUCUACACGGUUGUGGUUAGGGGUGAGCAUCGAAUUCGAAUUCGGUAAUUCGGUAGUUGAAAUCGGUAAGUUUCGGUAAAUGGUUCUGGAAAUAUUCGACCUAAUUCGCAUUCGAAUUAGAGACUACCGAAUUCGAAUUCAACCCGAAUUCAAUUCGGUAAACCAAAAAAAUACCGAAUUACCGAAUUCCAGAAAACUGCUUCUUCGGCCCAUUUUUCAUCAGCAAAUAGCAAUGCUAUUGAACUGAGCCACAACUUACAAAUUGUUCGAAUGUAACUGAUCACAAAUCACUCCAGAAAUUCGAAAUCAAAACAACACACAAUUCACAUUGAUCAUUAAAAUUCAGAAAUCAUAAACAAAUUCACAAACAAAUUACACUGAUCCACAAACAAAUCACAAAUGACAAACAAAUCCAGACAUCACAAAUCAGAAAUCACAAGUCCAGAAAUCACACUGUUGCCCUGGUGCUACAAAUCAGAAAUUCCACUGAUCCACAAUCAUAAAUCAAUCUAGAAAUCAUAAUGAAACAAAAAUAAAAGUCUAAAUUAACUUGUCCAAAAAUCACAAUCCACAUUCCACAAUCUAGAAAGCCACAAAGCCACAAACUGCAAUCCACAAUCCAGAAACUGCAAUCCAGAAACUGCAACUUCAGCCACAAGAAGAGUUGCAAUACAGAAACUCCAAUCCACAAUCCACAAUCCACAAUCCAGAAACUGCAAUCCACAAUCCAGAGUCCAGAAAGCCACAAGAAGAGUUGCAAUACAGAAAGCCAAUUACGCUGAAACUGCAACUUGCAACAAGAGUUGGUUCAACCCUCAAAAUGCAAACUUUAGCAUUUGUGACCUCUCAAAGGUCAAUUAUAGUUGGUUCAGUUCCAGUCUUCAGCAACUCUGCAAGAACAAAUAAAAUUCAUGAAGUAUCAUAAAGGCAAUUAUUAGAAAGAAAGAAAUACUUCAAAUUCUGCAAUAAAAAUUUUGAUAGCUUACCAGAUUCGAAGGCUUCAAGCUCUUCCAGAUUUUCUUCUACAUUUAAUUCUGUCUUGGAGGACCGAAGCCAAUCUUGAGCACAUAUUAAACCUUGCACAAUUCUAGGAGUCAAAGAACUCCUAAAUGUAUCAAGAACACGACCUCCGGUACUAAAAGCAGAUUCAGAGGCCACGGUAGAAAUUGGGACUGCUAACACAUCACGAGCAACUUUGGAAAGGAUUGGGAAUCUAAGGCUAUUGGCCUUCCACCAUAACAAGAUAUCAAAUCUCUCAUCAUCUUCCUCACAAUCCUCAUUCAAAUACUUCUCUAAUUCAGAUUUUGCAUCCCUACCCCCAAGUUCCAUUUUUCUCUUCUUAAACUCCAACUUGUACCUAUCAGUGAUUGUUUUAGAGGCAUUCCCAUGUCCAUGAAAUGUAAUUUUACUCGUUGGAGAAUCACUUGAAAGUGAAGAAGCAUGAGAGGCAGGUGUGUUGAGCAUCUUGUAUUCAUUAAACAGCUCAAACAUUGCAUCUUUUGCAAGGCCAGCUAUUGUUGUACCAUCGGACUCACCAUACAUUUGACAAACCACAAAUUCAAGGUAUUCAAGUUUAGUUCGAGGAUCAAGAAUGGAGGAAAUAAAAAUCAGCAUAUUCAUCUUUUCAAUCUUUCCCCAAUACUUAUCAUAUUUCUCCUUCAUUGAUCUUGCCAUUGAACUCAAUUCAUCAUUAUCACUUGCUGUCAUUUCAAUUAAAAUGCCAUGAAUGUGACUAAUAUCAGUGAAAAAAUUAUUUGAAGUCACAUAUUUGAAACCGGAAACCUUCACAGUUAGCUGAUAAAAGUUUUCCAAAAAAAUCACCAAGAAUCUAGCUUUUGUCCAAUCAGAUUUUGUUGGCAGAUUUUCUAACUCUUGAAGCAUAUAAGGAUCCUGCUCCUCAAACCUCUCAAAAGCUCGCUCAAACCUUUGAGCUGUGUCUAGCAUUAGAUAUGUAGAAUUCCACCUAGUAGGUACAUCUAAACAGAGCAAUCUUUUGCAUUCAAUUUUUUCAAUUUCAACACACUCCUUGAAUUUUUUCAAUCUAGAAGGUGACUGUCUAACAUAUCUAACUGCUGCCCUGAUACAAUCAACUGACUCCCCAAGUUUUUUGAUGCCAUCAUUAACAAUUAGAUUCACUAUGUGAGCUACACACCUCACAUGAGUCCAUUUCUCCCCUAACACAGCUUUUCCCCAAUUUUGAAGCUUUCCUCGUAAAUACUGGACAGCUACAUCAUUGGAACUUGCAUUGUCAACUGUGACAGUUAGGAUAUCAUCAACUCCCCAUUCUAGUAGACACUUUUCUAUGGCCUUACCAACUUCAGUUCCCUUGUGACUAGCAAUAGGACAGAAAUUUAGGAUCUUUUUGUUCAGUUUCCAAUCAUUAUCUAUGAAAUGGGCAGUGAGGCACAUAUAGUUUAUCCUUUGAAUGGAUGUCCAAGAAUCUGUGGUUAAACAAAUUCUGCCACUGUUAUUCUUCAAGAGUUGUUUCAACUUAGUUUUUUCAUAUAAAUACAGCUGAUAGCAAUCUCUAGAAAUAGUCCAUCUCGAAGGAAUUUUAAAUGAUGGACAAGCAGUCCGCAUCAUAUAUUGAAAGUCUCUACCCUCUACAUGUUUAAAUGGCAACUCAUCAACAAUUACCAUAUAAGCUAAGCUUUUUCUAAUGGCUUCCGCAUCAAAUUUCCAACUUAUGAGUGCCCCUUUAACCUCUCCCGCUAAGGUUUCAGUUUCACCCAAACACAAAGUAGCCUGGCCAGUGUGCUUAUUUUUAGGAUUUAGAGGACAUUUAGCUACAUGAGUAUUAAGGGGAGUCGUACCAUGACUUUUGGGAUCCGCAGCUAUGUCCUUGUCACAGUACUUGCAAAUUGCAUGACGAACUCCAUUCACAUGCUUUACAUGAAAAUGAUCCCAAGCUUUGGACCUCUUCUUGUACUCUCAUCUUUUCUUGGCAAAACCAGAUUCUUCGCAGCUUUGUGUAGUAGGACUAGGAGGAAGAGUUCCAGAUGAUCCUUCUUGUUCCAGCUCAUUGCAACUUGGAUUACUCUCACCAUCAGUAGUAGACAUAGCUUCAGUGUGCCAGCACUUGAAACCUUUGACCAGAACAAGGACACAACACAAAGAUUUCACAAGUCAGAAAAGGUAUAUAAUACUUUUUUCUCACUGACCUCAGUAGGUCUAAUUUCAUAUCCAAUCCAAGAUAUUUUGAGAAAAUUUGCUCAUAGCUUCUAAAGAAUAAUACGACCCUGAAAUCUAUUAUUCACAUAUUCAAAGUGGAAAAGUAGGAAUAAUCUCUAAAAGUAUACUAAUCCAUCAAAAUUUAUGUGUUCAUCUUAAACCUAUUAGAUAAAUAUGUAAUACUACAUGAUUCUGAACCAUCAUUGGUUUCAUGCAUCAGAUGAGUUCAGUAAGCUAAAACCAGAACAAAGUUUUAGACAUUAAUCAACAUACUCAACCAGAACUGCACAACGACCAUAGCUCAGAACUACUUUGUGAAAUUGCCUGUCGCUAAGGUUCAAUGAUUAAUCCGACACAAUAGUGGAGCAUCAGCCAGGAAGAAAAAGCCAUAAAAAAUCAGUUCAAUAGAACAAAAGGAACAGCCAGGAAGAAUAAUUCGAUACAAAGGUAAAUUUACACGCAGAAUUCAUUUGUUAGUUUCCAUUUUAAUAGAGGAAAAAAUAGCAAAAUGGACAAAACAGGCCGAGCCCCAAAAGAAAUAUGUGAGAAAGAGAGAGAGGGAGAGGAGACAAACCCUAAAUCUUGGAACGAAUGCUAAGGAGACUGGAGACUGGAGACUGGAGGAGGCUGGACUGCUGGAGGAGUGAGUAUGGAGACUGGAGAGAACCGGCUGGAGGAGGCUUCUGUAGUUGAGGAGAGGAAAGGAGAAGCUGUCAAACUGAGAAAGUAUCUUCAGUUGAGGAGAGAAGAAACUCAGAAACAGGCAAACAGCUUGGCUUAGACUUCAGUGGGCGACGGCGCAAAGGAACGAGACUACGAGAGGAAGAGGAGAGCAGAAAUAGUGAAAUUAGAACGAAUGCUAAUUUAGGGUAUUGAAAGUCUGAAAUUGGAACAUCCGACAAAAGCUUGAGGUAUAAUAAUAUUCGGAAUUUCGAAUUUGAAAACGGUAGUAUUUUACCGUUUUACCGAAUUAAAUUCGAAUUCGGUAAAUCCGAAUUCAAGAACCCCAAAACCAAAUUCGACCCUAAUUCGAUUCUUACUAAUUCGAUACCACCGAUUUACCGACCUAAUUACCGAAUUCGAAUUACCAAAUUGAAAUCGAUUUCGGUCGGUAAUUCGGUAAUUACCGUAAUUGCUCACCCCUAGUUGUGGUAGUCAUUUUUUGCUAACUGUGUAAGAGGAUCUGUUGCACUGAACAAAUGUAAUUUGGGAGCAAGGACUUUUUGGAACUCAAUACACCAGUGAAAGUAAGCACAAAAAGAAAUUCAAUAUUGCAGUGAGGGUAAUCACAGCAUACAAAUUUGUGGUUCUGCUGCAAAACUCAGAUGUACAUGAGUAAUUUUAACAGCAAGUGUUAACGACACUUGUAAAUCCAACCACACCAUUCUAUGCAUGCUCUAAAUAGAUAGAUACAACAUCUGCAAUGACAAAGCAUAUAUAUUUUAAGCACAACUGAAAUAGGAUUUCCCACUAUCAUAUAUAACUUCAAUGGAUAAUCAUUUGUGUUAAGAAGGCAAUAGUAAAGACAAAAAGGAAAAGCAAGAAAUAAUACGUAUAGCUACUCCGUGAAAACCAAUGAACAGAAUAUAACUUCAAAAUUAAUUUAGAGCUGAGCUGCAAAGAUACUUGGGGGGAAAAAAGAACGUAACAUUAAAAAGUUAACGUGGAUCUAUUAUUGUGGACCUUUCCUGCGUUUUUCCUGAAUUUAUUAAAUAGAAAUCGAAACAUGACAUAAAUGCAAAAUAAGACUAUUAGUAGCAGCAAAACUAAAUAAUUAAACAGGAAGUAAUUGAAUAAGAAAUUAAAAUUAAGUUCAGAGUAUGCGUGCGCUUACCUGUAUCAGCUAGUUCCAGUGUUGGGGACUGGUCAUUAAGCAGUGGCAAAUCAUUUUUUGUCUCGCUUACUACCUGAACUGAACUGGUAGCAUGAUCAGCUUCAUAGUAAUAUAUAACUGUGUAACGUUGCCUAGCGUCUGCUAGCUGUGCUUGGAUUGGUUUUAUAUGAAUCAGAAAAGUCUUUGAUUUCAGUUGUUCAUGAACAAGGUCAAGAGGGAGCUCAACAUUCUGAGAACGAGAGGAAAAAAAUAUCAGUAAUGUUGUAAUAGGUCGGUCAACAACUUUUUGAGACAAAAUAAAACCUCAUUAAAAUGCUGCAUUGCUUCAAUGGAGGUGAAUGUUAAAAGCUUCUCAGCUAGUUCUCCAAAUAUGGAAGCUGGUAUAGCUCCACUGUCAUCAACUAAAUCAACAUCAAAGCAACAUCUGGAAGUAUAAUAAAUACAGAGAGAAUUAGUAUUUUGGGAAAUUUAUUAUUAUAUAUGAUCAAGGAAGAUUCACACAGUUAUGACUUAUGAACUAUCAUCUUGGUACAGCUGGUUGCUUCUCCUAGCACGAGUUGCAAGUAAAUUCAACUUCAUAAUCUGCUGCUGUUGCUCGAUAGCAAUUCUUACAACUCAUAUACUAGUAUUUUUGGAAUAUGUGUUCAAAGUAAAAGCGAGCUCUCACCCAAGUUGUCUGCAAUAUUAAUAAUGAUAAGCAAAAAAAUGUAAAUAUGGCAACAGCAAAUUGUAAAGGGAAAAUGGGAAAGAGUGUUUUAAUACCUUCUGUGAUGGGUUAACAUUGCAAAUUAAGGUAGCUUUCUGAUCAACUCUGAGAGAAAUUGCAGGAUUAUACUUCAUGUAGUCUCUUUUAUCAAGAACAUCUGCAAUCAUUUUAGAAUUUCUAAGUGCCUUGUACAAGGAGAAAAAUACAGAGAAGGUGUGAGAAGGGAAAAUCAUCUGAAGUUGAAGUUUUGAGAUAGAAACAGAUUAUUGGAGUACAAUAUACCAGUUCUUCAGUUCUCUUGCUUCCUGUACAGGCGGAUCAACAAGUAUGACAGAAUCAAACCAAGUACCCAAUGCAACACCUAUAGAAAAGCAUCAAUGUUAUGACAACUGAUUCUGUGAAAUAUAUAUAUAAGAAGGCGAGAAAAAAAAUAUUUCAAUGUAUAAAAGCAAAAAGUACCAUUGUAAUUAUUGACUUUAAUUCGACGUGCAAUAAUGACAGGAUAGCUGUGGAGGUUAGACAGUAGCUGUUGUCCUUCAUUAGUAAGAAAGUCAUCCCAUAAAGACAGCAAUACGGUUUGACAUCUGUAAUGAUUAUUAAUAUAAGUAAUAAGUAGGUAAUAACUUACUUUAGAUUUGCAGUUAAGAUAAGAAAUGAGAUACUCACUCUUCAUCAAGAACGACAAACUUUUGAACAUUUAAUUCUUUUGUGUUUCUAUUCAAUGUCUUCCUGUCUAAUGCAGCAAUCACAACGCCUAGCACAUUUGUAAAGAGAGAACCAGCAUCAUGGAAGAAGCACUAAUAACAGUGUAAGUACAGCAAUAUUAAUUGGUCGAGAGAGUUACCAACUGAUUUAUUCCUGUCAUCCAUGUGAUGCACCAAAUCAGUAAAUUUUGUAUAGUUAAACUUCACAGGCAUGAUUUCAUUGGCAUCAUCAUUUAUUUCUUGAAUAACAGUUUUAGUGCUGAUCACCCAUUAGAUAGUGAGCUCAGUUGUCUGAAAUUUUGCUGGGAUAGGCUUCACUUCAGCAUUUGUGAUCUUGUAUUUUUUGUAAACAUGUAAGAGCGGACUCAUUUUAGGAAUAUCAGCAUUGAAGAUUAUUGCUUCUACUUUUGAUCCCUGGAACAUAGAAGCAGCAAGUAUAGCAUUAGCUAAAAAACAAGAAAUUUUGUUAUUACAACCAUAGGAAAGAGAGCGGGCACAAAGGCGCACUAACCUCUGUAUCAUAGAAGAUAAAUUUUUAUUUUUUGUUGGUGUUCACUUUGAGUCAGUGAUCUGUUGUUUUUCCUGAACAGUGAUGAUGCAACUCUAAUUUUUCAUGAAAGGGACAAUGUCUCGGAUAGGCAGCAAGUUAGUCAUUCUGUAUGAAAAUCAAAAUGAACAUAACUAAGUAUUAGUACACAGGUUAAGUGUAAGAGUAUAUUCAUUAAAGAAAGAUAAAUAUGUAUGUGUACCUCAUUCAAAAAUAUACUUGAAUCAGAUAGAAUCUUGAAAUUAGACAGAAUCGUUACUGCUGAGUCAAAUGAAAGAUUUCAUUAAAGACAACGUUCCUAGUUUUGCAGUUAAUCUUUUUCUCAUCAAAAGUUCCAGGAAUAAGAAGAACUUUAAGGUGAGCAGCAGUUCUAGCUCUAGAAAGUGCAACGUAAAGCUGUCCGUGGAAAAAAACAGGUUCACGCAAGUAAAGACCCACAUAGUCAAGAGUUUGUCCCUAUGCCUUAUUAAUGGUUAAAGCAAAACAGAGGCGGAUAGGAAAUUGAGUUCUUAUGAACGGAAUCCCAUUUCUUUCAUUGUCAGAGGUCUGAAGAGGUAUUUUUGGGAUGAAGACUGUUUCCCAGCGUGAAUGCCAAAAAUAAUUUCUGCAGAAAUGAUAUUCAAGCUAAACUCUCUACAUAUUAACCUUGUCCCAUUACACAAUCCUUCAUUAGGAUUUAAAUUCCUUAAAAGCAUAAUAGGACAGUUUUCUUUUAGCAGCAACUUAUGAGGAGGAAGUCCUUUUGGAUUCUGCGAAUUUAGAAAAUCUUCAUAGUCACCUUGGUGCUGCUGCUCAACAGUCCGAUCUGAACUUAUAUAAAUUUGAACAUUUUCAUGAAAUUUGUUUAUCAAUAGCUCAUUUAGCUCAUCGACUGAGCUAUUUUUGGGAGUAAGGAUGCAUCUAUUUAUCAUCCUAUAAGGAUCUUUAGAAUACAGCUGCAAAUCUGGGAAAACACUCUCAACUAACCUGUUUAGAGUUAUAAGUAGCUAUAAUCAAUGAAAGACAAGGUUUAAAAAAAAGAAUCAGCUAGAUAAAGUAUAAUUGUAUGUAGUUGUUAACCUAUUUAAAGAUUGAUCUUUAUCAUAAUAAGAAAUAACUAUAUCAGGUGAUAAAGCGAUUUCGCCGUUUGCAUCUACAGGCUCUCUUCCCUCGCCUAUUCUUAAUAAAAACUGAGAGAAAGCAUGAUCUAACAUGGCUCUCAUAUUCUGCGUGAGUUUCAGUUUGUGUAACUUAGACCAGAGAACAGAGUUAGGAAAGCUUGAUUCUAUGAGGACAUGCUUUGUUGCUCGCUCAAUAACCGACAAAGUUUGCCGAAAAUCUCCACAAAAAAUUACAACUUUUCCUCCAAAAGGCAAAUUAGAAUCCAUUAUAUCUUUAAGUAGAUCAUCAAAUGCCUAAAUCGUUUCUCGCUUAGCCAUCGAUGCUUCAUCCCAAAGGAUAAGUUUACACUCUAAAAGCAAUUUGGCAAUACUGCUUUGUUUGCUAAGUUGACAAGCUUUAUUCUUUGAAAAGUCCAAUGGUAUCUUAAAUCUUGAGUGCGCUGUUCGUCCUCCAGGAAGAAUAGAAGCUGCAAUGCCAGAAGUGGCUACAGCAAUGGCAAUGUAACCCUGCGAUCUAAAUGUAGCAAGCAGCGAUCGGUAUAAGAAUGUUUUACCAGUCCCUCCUGGACCAUCAAUAAAAAAAGCUUCACCCUGAGCAGAAAAAUAUGCUGCAAGAAUCAGGUCGUAAGCAUUUUUCUAUUCAGAGUUCAAUUUGAGAGAGAGUAAGAGAUCCUCUGGAGCAACAUGUAAACCCCUUUCGCUUUCGAUCUCCUGUGUCAAUCGUUCAUGAAAAGGAGAAUGGAAAUCAUUUGAAGUUAAUUGGUAAUCAGUUAUUCUUUUUCCUAUUUGCUCCAAUGAUCUGUUAAUGUCUUGUAACGCUCUUGUUGUGGUCUCUGAAGGAGUAAGGACAGAAAAUGAGCAUUGGUGCUGGUAAUCUGUUAAGAGGUCACGGUGAAAUUUUUCCCACAGGAGCUGAGGAUUUACUGGAGAACAAUGAACAAGCAGAGUGGCAAAUAGCAAUCUUAAGGAAGAUGGCAUCUGGAAGGCCACGGCUUCUUGGAGUGUAUCAUCUAUGUAAGUAUCAGAUUGCAAAAGUCCUAAUGCUAAAGCAGCUCCUCUAAAGGAAUUCAGCUUUUGAUCAGCAACUGUCAAAAUAUCAUCAAAAGAAGUUGGCCCAUGAACAUGAUUUAGAAGAAGUCUCAAGUAGUAUCUUUCUCCAUUUGCUGGACUAACAGUAACCAUUCUACCUAUCACAUUUCGACGCUUCCUCAGCCCAUUUUUUAUAUUUAGGAAACCAAACAAAAAAUUGAGGAAAAUCCUUGUAAAGACAUUUAAGGUUCUGUGCAACCACAUUUGUUUUGUUUAUAUGGAAAAAUUCAGUUAACAUGGUUUUUGAAAAAUCAACUUUGCUCAAUAAUUGCAACAGAUCAGAGUUUUUGUCGAAAGAAAUAAACUAUUGGUCUGGAAGAUGGAUCUGAAGAGUAUAGACCGCUGGAGUUAUUUCACUUAAGCGGAAUUCAAAAAUGCGCCAAAAUGCCUCAGGAGAUGAAAUCCAUCUACCUUGCUGAAAUUCCUUUAUUUCAUCAGUGUCAUCAGGGGCAUGAUGCGAAACGACCUUAAAAUUGAUUGAGUCAUGGCCUUUGAAAACAUACUUAUACAUGUACUUCACCAAUUUAACAGUCGAGCAAAUUUCUACAUUGAUAUGGCAGUCAAAUGUAGCUAACAGAUAGGGACUAUAAGACACAACCCAUAUGUUAUCAAAAGUAUGCCUUCGGAUUGUGAUUUUUCUUCUAUCAUCCCUCCUUCUGUAUUGUGGAUAACUAUCUUCAGCAUGAGUCGUUUGGCUACAAAAACUCUUUGGAUAGUGAUUUUUACAACGACCAUCCUUCAUACAAGGGCAAGUUCUAUCCAUAUCACCACAAGGACCAUGAAUCAUAUGCUUCACAACAAGUGAAUAUAGAUGAGGAUGCUUAGAACGAUCAGGUAUUUUAGCACAGACCACUCUAUCAUAUGACUCUGGAUUUAGGAGCUUGUAUUCAAGCUUCAAAAUUAGUAGCAUAUGCGUAUGUGGGAAUCCACAUUUUUGGAACUCAAUCACAUAAACAUACGCUGCAACUUCUCCAAAGAUUUGUUUGUUCAAAACUUCUGAUUUAAGCAAUUCAAACUUGGCUCUAAAGACUCUAGCCAGAAGGUCCGGUCUGUCCUGAGGUUUUCAUGGUACUUUAGAUUAUCCUGAAUUUCCUUCCAUGCUGGGUUGCAGGUCAUAGUAAAAAAGAUAUCCGAUUUGCCAUAUUUUUGCACAAGGGACAUUGCAUCAAGAUAUUGACGUCUCAUGUCCCUUGGUCUACCUAUAAAGGAAGCUGGUAAUAUGGUUCUACGGCCAACUUUAGAAGCAUUGGUUUGGCCUAUUGAAAUACUGUCUAGGACUCCUUGAAGAACCUCAGAACGAAUGUUGUUCUGUCGGUUUCAAUGAAAGUCAAGCCUAGACGUUUCAAUCUUAACAUAACCAUCUACUGCAUACUGUUGUAAUAGUCUAAGUGAGUGCAGUAACAUUGAUUCAUCAUCAUCUCUGAUCUGAAAUCUGUAACAAUAGUAUUCCCUAGCUGACACCGUGUCUUCUUUAUUUUUUGAACAAUCAGCAGCUAGAGAAAAAUGAUGAGUAGUUAUUUAGGCUGAUGAUAUCUUAUAAUGUAAGAAGAAUGGGUAAAAGCAAUUGGGUAGAAGCGGCAACAAAUAACUUGCCUCUUUGUUCACGAUCCAAUAAACUUGAUGCAGAAUCGACCGAAGAAGGAUGAAUGUUGAUAUCUUCCUCACAGGAAUCCUCUCUUCUCUUUUUUUUUCGAGCUCUUUUAACUCCAGGGUGCCACUCGCAUUCACCGCAGGGAAACAGAAUAGGGUAUUGCAAUGGAUCAUAGCAGCCAUGGUAAUGUUUAAUUCUAUAGCUGCUAUUUGAAUGAGUAUACACUUGAAUAUGAGCUCCCAUAUGGUCUGAUUCAUCUUCAUUUUCAGUCCAUAUUGCUGCAACUUGGGACGCAGAAGGAAGGUUAUAAACUCGCUGGUCAAGGGCGGGAUAACAGCAAAAUACAAUGUUCAAGUUGUUAAUGUUUGGAACAUGGCUAAGGUUUCUGAAGAACUUAGCAUAAGGAUUGUUACUAAGAAUGCGCAUAAGGAGUCUUAAUGUGGUUGCUCGCAACUUAUCAGAAGCAGCAACCCUCUUUGCUAAUUCUUCAUCAGUGUCAAAGAAGUAUAGUUGAAUCCCAGAUGCUGUAUCGUCUGACCGGAAAAGGCCAUUAAGAAAAUGAUAAACCUGACCUUGAACACGAAAGAUGUAAACACCUUUGGUGUUCUUUGUUAGUUCAGAAUCAUAUUUAGCAGUAAAUGAUGUGAAGCCUAAGUUAUUGUUGUAAGUGCGAGCAUUAUUCCUAAAAUGGAAGCUCUCCUCAUUGCUACCAAUGAAUAAGCGCUUCAAAUCGUAAGGCAUAGGAGGAGCGACAACAGAAAUUUCUCCUCCUGCGCAGCAAAAAUUAGGCGGUUCCAAAUGGAAUCUUUUCGCCCCACAAUGGCCACAAGGAGUAGCAUCAGGCAAAGCCAAAGACUCAUUAGGAAUAUUGUUCACGAGGGAAAGAUUUGGCUGGCCACGCCUCCGUUUUCUCCCUGUGGUUGUUUGCAUGCAAUUUGUAAACAUGUUGAGUUAAGACUGUGUAUAAAUAGGCAAGAAGGAAUCCUAAACACAGGCAGAGAUAAGCGAGAAACAACACUAAACCUGCAUUCUCUGUUCUCACGGUAGAAGAGUUACUACGUUUCUUGCUAUGUGCAGAAAUUGCAGAGGAUGGAUGAAGAGGAGUAUUCCUAUUUUUUUUCCUUCUCUGGCGAACAGAGGUCACUGUAGACUGGUUAAAAUUGCUUGCUGGAAAAGAAGAAGUUUCUGUGGAUAAUAAAAUCCAAUAAGACAAUUGGUAAAGUUGUGCAGGGCUUUGUAUAUGUACAUUUAAUUAUUAACAGGAAAAAAUGCUUAAGAGGUGAAGAAGCAAGUAAUGGGGCCGCAAGUUAUAGCGAAAAAAGAACUAAACAAGGAUUAUUGGAGAGAAGAACUGCACUAAAUGAAAGUUGAAUCUGUGGAAACACUCGGUAAUGGAGGAUGCAUUUUUUUUUGCAAAGUGGCCGAUAUAUGGAAAACAAAAUUUGCGGCUGAGAGGAAUAUAAGGUGAAGAAGACGCAGCUGCUAUAAGUUAAAACGGGCAUAAUUCUGAACAGGAAAGGCUUGCAAGGUUUCAAAUACUAAAUAGGAGCACUGCAGGAUUCAAACAAAAGGGAACUCAUUUUUAGCAACACAGAGUGCAUAGUAAGCAAUAGGAAGGCAGAGGAGCAGCAAUAAAAUGGAAGAGGAAAAUUCAAAUCCAGCAGAAAAUAAGCUAAUUAAGAAAUACCUUCAUUAACAGAUGAUGCAGACCUGGGAGGCAUAUUUUUUUUAGAAGACGGUGAAGCACGAUCAUUGAGCAAAUUAGAUACAUCAGGAGUGUAAUGGAACUCUCCACACCCUAUAACAACACUCUCAACUGGAAGAAAGCACUCUCGAUUUUCUAGUGUAUUAGAAAUGACAGGAGGUUGAUCCUCAUUACCAGAAGAUCUAUCAUGACCAUACGCAAAACAGACAGUAGAUUCCACACAAGCAGGAGGAACCUUGUGAACGUGAGAGCGGGAAAUUUUUUGUUUUUUCUUCUCAGAUCUAGCCUCUCUCAGAGAACGCAAAAAUUUAGCUUUCCACGCAAGGCGUUUCUAUCCAUCUAAUUCCAGAUACUAAGUAAGGGAGUAGCUACAUGAGAUAAGAUAAUAAAGGCUACCAAAUAAGCAGCCACCAAGCUGGGGAGCAGCAACUAAGCAAGGAAGCAUGGCAAGGCGAAGUUUACUAUUAAGGGAUAAGAUAAUAAAUGCUAGGCAACGAAAUAUCAUACAACUGGUGAGCAUAAAAAAAGCGUAGAGAAAAGAAGUGCACAAGUAAACGAAUAAGGUGGCCGAAGAGAACUACAAGCACAGUAGCAUGCAACAAAGGAAAAAGAGAAAAAAACUGCAUGGUUGAUGGAAAAAAACAAGCCAGCGCAAACUAAAAGCAAACAAAGUUACAGAACAGGGAGAUAGCAAGAAAAAGGCAAGAAAAAAGGAGAAGAAGGGAAGAAACGCCACCUCAGGCAAACAGGCACACCUCAGUGAAUGGAAUAGCAACAACAGGGCGCACAGGAUCUCUUGCUGUCAAAACAACAGACAAAGAAUUGAGAAGCAAGCAUGACAUGAGACAAAGUACAACAGAGAGAAGGGAAAAUUUUGGGAAAUGCAGACAAAGGAUAAAACAAGAAAGAUACUAACCUGAACUAAAAGAGGAGGAGCUGACAGGAGAAUCCGAAGAGAACAAAAGCUACAAAACAACAAAAGAAUUCAGAAGUCGUGCACAGCAGAGGAUAUUCUAAGCAAAAGAGAGAAAAAGAUUCCAAAAAGCAAUACAGGCAUAAUAUAGAAUCGUAAGGAAGGAAAAAAAAAACAAAGCAAUGGGGGAAAAAACAACGGGGAGUUCAUAAUGUAGGGCGAGCAAGCAUGCCUACCAGCAGCCAACCAAAAGUUGCAGAGGUGCGAGCAAGGUUCUAAGCAGCAAGGCAGCAACAAAGCAAUACAAAGGAAGGUGAAGGAAAUAAGCUGGAAGAAGCUUAGUUCAAACAACACUGAUCAUAAUGCAGGCCUUCCAAAAUCCAACGGGAGACUCGUGAUAGCCUCGCCAAGACUGGACGGAAAUGUUUCAAUCAAUCUCGUCAUCAUCAUCAGCCAAAAGCAAAGAAGGAAGAGCUGAAAGUCAUUCUGUGUCAGCAUUGCACAGCGCGCAGAGAAGAAAAAUUUACACCAACAAGCCAUUGAAUGGAACAUAGUCUUUAGUGCACAUUCCGUAAUUGCGGCAAAACAGUCAGGGUAAAAGUGUCAUUUCAAUUUCCCUUUAUUCAGCUGACCACCUAACGUUUGACAUUGAAGAAGAGACAUCACACCUGCUACAAUGUUACAAUGCGUCAUAACAACUACUCUUGCCACUCUGUUCACCCUAACAUUAUCAGUUUUGAGUACUAUCUUACAGUUCUAGUCUUAGUUGUAGUCCUUUAUGUUUAUAUUAUAUUAUAUUAUUAUUAACAUAUUAUUAACAUAUAUAUAAAAGAGCGAAUGCCAUGGCUCAAAAGAGGUGCUUGUGUUGGAGAUGUGGCCAAUCGUUAUUGGCUGGAGAGUGUUCGUCCAAGUAGCUCGUGCUCCUCACGUGAGUUUACUUUGGAUUCCAUUGUGUCUCCAAAGAAGAAAAAGUACUACUCGGUCUCCAAAGUAAAGUACUUUGCCUCCAAAGAGUAUGUCAGAUGUUUACCUGCUUCCCAUCUCACUUUCUCUGUCUCGGACAGAAAGUUGAAGGUUGAAGUUGUGGGUAGUUGUCAGAGUGCUUCAUUAAGACAGAAACUAACACCUCUUGUAAAUACUCCCAAAACUUGUUCACAAUUCCAGCUGGUGUUGCGAAAAUAGCCUUGACCAUUUUUUGUAGUGAAGUGAGAAAUGCUGUGCGAGGAAGGAAAUUAGGUAAGCUUAUACCUUUAACUUCCUCCAGGAUGCUAAUCUCUUCCUCCAAGAACUGCUGCUUUUGUUCAACUUUGAUAGACGAACACUCUUCCUUUCUCGCUCUCCCUCUCUGUCAAACGAUGACCAGAUCUAUCAUUUAUCUACAUGUUUUCUUUCUUCUUUUCUUCUUUGUUAAUAAACAAAAAUUAAAAACAAAUAAGGCACUUUGAUGUUUUUUGUUUAGUUUUUGUUUCUUUCUUUGUUUUCUUGAAUUUGCAGUUACUCACAAUCGCAUUUUGCUUCUCAUAGAUUGCGGACAAUGGAUUGAAUGUCCACGAGAAGGAGAAAAAGAAUCAACUUUCCAGGUUGUGCGAUUUUCUUUAAUUUAUUUUUCAGUCUUUUUCCAAUUUUACUCUAGUAUAGCAGAAAGCAAGAAAGAAACACCGCUGAAAACGAGGCCAUUUAGUCUAAGUCUGCUAAGAACUAAGAAAUAAGAAACAAGGACAGAUUGAAUGAAGCAAAAAAGGAACGGAAAGCAAACGAAUUGGAGAGGAAGUUGGACGAACACUCUCCAACCAAUCACGUUUGGCCACAUCACCAAAAGUACACAAUCUUGAGGUAUGGCAUUCCCUCUUUUAUACCUAUUGUUAAUGAGAGUAAACUAUUUCCAAAUAAUAAAUAAAUAAUAUAUCCUCUCACUCAAAAAAAAGGGAUAAUUGCAGAAACCUCCCCUGACUUUUAUAGUAAUAGCAUUGACCUCCCCUAUCAAUUUUAAAAUAGCACUGACCUCCCCUAUCAAAAGUUUGAGGCAAUUUAAUAGGCAAAAGUGGGUCAAUUUACUAAAGUACCCCUGACAUGAUUUAAUUUUACCAAAUGAAUGUGAUAGUACUUUCAUCAAACCCAACAAAACAUUUGUUAAUAAAAAUUACACUAAAUUAACUAUUUCUGCAUAGUUUAACUAAUUAACUAAUUAACUAAAUAAACUAAAUAACUAAUAAUCUAAUUAAUUAAUAACUAAUUAUCUAAUUAAUUAUUAACUAAUUAACUAAUUAUCUAAUUGUUAAUAGUUAUUAACCAAUCAAACUAUUUCUGCAUAGUUAAACUAAUUAACUAUUAACUAAUUAUCUAAUUAACUAUUAACUAAUUAACUAAUUAUCUAAUUAAUUAAUUAACUAAUUAACUAAUUAUCUAAUUAACUAAUUAACUAAUUAACUAAAGCUGUUGUCUGUCCGAAACUAACAAACUAUUUGCAUGUUAAACUAAUUAACUAAUUAACUGCUUAACUAAUUAACUACCUAAUUAUCUAAUUAAUUAAUUAACUAAUUAACUAAUUUUUGUUUAUCUAAUUAUCUAAUUAACUGAAGUUGUUGUCUAUCCGAAACUAACAAACUAUUUGCAUGUUAAACUAAUUAACUAAUUAACUAAAGCUGUUGUCUAUCCGAAACUAACAAACUAUUUGCAUGUUAAACUAAUUAACUAAUUAACUGCUUAACUAAUUAACUAACUAAUUAUCUAAUUAAUUAAUUAACUAAUUUUUGUUUAUCUAAUUAACUAAUUAACUAAUUUCUGUUUAUCUAAUUAACUAAUUAACUAAAACUGUUGUCUAUCCGAAACUAACAAAUUAUUUGCAUGUUAAACUAAUUAACUAAUUAAUUAAUUAACUAACUAACUAAUUAACAAACUAUUUGCAUGUUAAAACAUGCAGUACGCAUUAUCUAUUUAAAGUAUCGGCUCUUUAUGGGUAUUUUACUUUCAAACAUUUAAUUUAUGAUAAAAACAUCAAUGUUUGUAAGUAAAAUUCAAAAAGUGUUACAGUAAUAUUCUUACAAAAAGGGAGGGGCAUAGAGCCAUAAAUUAAAUGUUUAAAAGUAAGAAUAUUGAUAUUACUGUAAUACUUUUUGAAUUUUACUUACAAACAUUGAUGUUUUUAUCAUAAAUUAAAUGUUUGAAAGUAAAAUACUUAUAAAGAGCCGAUACUUUAAAUAGGUAAUGCGUACUACAUAUAGUUUAACAUGCAAAUAGUUUGUUAAUUAGUUAGUUAGUUAAUUAGUUAAUUAGUUAAGCAGUUAAUUAGUUAAUUAGUUUAACAUGCAAAUAGUUUGUUAGUUUCGGACAGACAACAGUUUUAGUUAAUUAGUUAAUUAGUUAAUUAAUUAAUUAGAUAAUUAGUUAAUUAAUUAAUUAGAUAAUUAGUUAAUAGUUAAUUAGUUUAACUAUUAACUAAUUAGAUAAUUAGUUAAGCAAUUGUCAAGCAAAUAAUAAUUGUCAAGCAAGUAAGGGCAAAAUUGGAAGAAAAUUCUUAUCUCACUUCUACAAAAAGCUGUCAAGGAGGUUUCUGCAACGAAUUGUUACUGUUCAGGGGAGGUGAAUGCAAUUUCUAAACCUAGAGGGGAGGUCAGUGCAAAUGUCAGAAAUAUCAGGGAAGGUUUCUGCAAUUAUCCCAAAAAAAAAAAGACAUUGGUCCAAUAUUAUCCACACACACAUUCACGCACAGGUAAUUAUUGGAAGUACGAUUCAUGUCAUAAAUGAAUCAUGUGAUAAUUCAGACGCUGCACCAGACCAUUAUAGUAUGUGCCAGAAUGUUUCCCUGUAUAUCCUAUACUUCACGAGAAAAUUCUUAAAUUGUGAUGAAAAAAAAAAGUUAUUCUACAAAGGGGGUGAUUUGUGAAGUUGGUUCCACAAAUGUGAUCUUCGCAUUUGUGAAAUGCGAGUUCAGGUACCUCGCAUUUCACAAAUGCGAGGUAAGUGUUUUCAGAAAAAAAGAAAAAAAGUUCGCAUUCUCCAAAUGCGAGCUUAUAAAGCUCGCAUUUGGAGAAUGCGAGCUGAGAUACCUCGCAUUCAAGAAAUGCGAGGUACUCAAUCUUCUUGCUCCAUUUGCUGGUACAAGAACCAGCAUGAAGUACAAGACUUCGCGGUUGCAAAAUGAGAAGCAACAAAUGGGAUUUUUCUUCAUUUUUCUUUUUUCUCCAAGAUUACCAAUACACAAUUCCACCUCACUCACCAGAAGAUGCCAAGAAUAUUCUGGAAUUAAGAGCAUCAAACGGCUCAAAUUCUGGCCAUAAAAAUGCAGCAAACAAUUACCAUGGAUGCCAAGAACUGGGGCUGAGAGUUUUGAGGGACUGAGGAAGACAAAGAGCAAGAGUGAAAUGGGGGGAAAAGGGAAGAGUGGAAGCAAGAAGCUUUCGGAGGGUUGGAAAGGAUGAGCUGGAGCAGGAAAGAAAAGAAAGCAGAGGAGAAACUAAGAGAAAAAGGAGGAACUUUGCAGCUGGGUUUGUAAGAGAGCUACGGGUUGAGUGAGUUGCCUGGGCGAGAACCUCGCAUUUGUUAAAUGUGAGGUAUAUGACCUCGCAUUUAACAAAUGCGAGGUCUGUUUUUCUUUUUCUUUUUUUUUUUUGAUUUGAAUGCUAGGAAAAUUCAGGAGACCUCGCAUUCAGCAAAUGCGAGUUCCUCGAGCUCGCAUUUGCUGAAUGCGAAGACCCCUCGAACGGAAUCCCAUACAAAAAAUGUCCCCUUUGUAGAAUUUUUUUAAAAAUCAUCAUAAUUUUAGAAAUUUCUCUAUACUUCACACAAUUAAACCAUUAAUAAACCUUAGCUUCUAAACCCCAAGUAUUCGGCCAUGGCUAACGAGCCCAAAUUACACGUAGUUAUGUUCCCAUGGUCGGCCUUUGGGCACAUUAUCCCGUUUUUGGAGCUCGCAAAAUUCAUAGCUCAAAGGGGUCACGAGAUCACCUUCAUUUCCACCCCAAGAAACAUCGAUCGCCUCCCAGAAAUCCCACCAAUUUUUGCUUCUUCUAUAACCUUCGUCAAAAUUCCACUGCCCAGAGUUGAAGGACUUCCGGAAAAUGCGGAGGCCACCAUGGACAUCCGUAACGAGGACAUUCCCCAUCUCAAGAAGGCCUAUGAUGGGCUCGAACCCGAGUUGACUUUCUCGAGAGCUCGCUUCCGGAUUGGAUUAUCUUCGACUUUGCUCCUUACUGGUUGCCUCCAAUUGCUGCCAAGCUGGGAAUUUCUAAAGCAUUCUUUUCAAUUAUCAACUCAUGGUUUUUGGCAUUUCUAGGACCGUCAGAUGUAAUGAUCAAUGAUGCAGAUCCAAGAUCGACGGUCGAGGAUUUCAUAGUUCCUCCCAAGUGGGUUCCUUUUGAGACAAAAGUGGCGUACAAGCCGUACGAGAUCAACUGGAUUCUAGGAGCAGGUCAGGAGAAUGUAACCGGAGUAUCUGACAGCUCCCGUUCGGGAAUGUUAAUGAAGGGUUCUGAUGUUAUUGUCGUAAGACAAUCCUACGAGUUUGAAGGGCAGUGGUUGAAGCUUCUUGAGGAGCUGCAUCAAAGAAAAGUGAUUCCUUUGGGAUUAAUGCCACCCCAAGUGGAAAAGAUUAGCAAUGAUGGGAAUGAUUCCUGGGAUUCAAUCAGGGAAUGGCUUGAUGUUCGAAACAAGGGCUCAGUUUUGUACGUCGCAUUGAGGUGUCACUCAGUCAAACGGAUGUCACUGAGUUGGCACUCGGGUUGGAGUUAUCUGGGGUACCAUUUUUCUGGGCGCUAAGGAAGCCGUCUGGAUCCACCGAGUCAAUUCAGGUGCCAGAUGGGCUUGAGGAGAGAGUCAAGGGGAGAGGGACUGUGUGGAAAGGCUGGGCCCCACAGUUGAAUAUACUGAGUCAUGACUCAGUGGGUGGGUUCUUGACUCACUGCGGUUGGAGUUCAUGCAUAGAGGGACUUGUGUUUGGUCAUCCGCUGGUUAUGCUCCCAUUUUUGGUGGACCAAGGGUUGAACGCUAGGGUUAUGGAGGAUAGGAAGGUUGGAAUUGAAAUACCCAGGAAUGAGCAAGACAGGUCAUACACGAGAGACUCGGUGGCUGAGUCUGUUAGGCUUAUUAUGGUUGCAAAUGAAGGGAAAAUUUUCAGGGAGAAAGCUAAAGAAAUGAGUGGAAUAUUUGGAGACAGAGAAUUGCAUGACGGCUACAUCCAAAAAUUUAUAGAUUAUUUGGAGAACAAUAGACACAAUCCCAUGGAUGGAUUGUGCCACUAGGACCCUUGUGCUAUGGAAAUGAUGAUAUUUUCUUUUUUUUUUUCUUUACUCAUCUUUUUUUUUUCCCCUUGCUUUCUAUUGUGCUGUGUCCUAAGAAUAAGAAACUGUCAUGUUAGUUAAAUUUGUGCUACCAUAUGCAAUGAUUUAAGCUGGAAAACUUUCAGGGCUUCUGUUCUAUACACGCAGUGUUAAAUAUAUAUAUAUCACGUAAUUAAAUUUAAAAUUUAAAAUUUAAUUUUUACACAAGUAAUUUACAUGUACAACUAUUAGUGUUACAAAGAAAAUCAACACUAACUGACUGACAGCGUAUACAAACUUAAUCUUAGAUCAAAUAUUAAUAUGAGGAGGCUAGCUGAUAUUCCGUGUAUUCACUCAAUUGGGUGUCCGGCCGGUGUGCAAUUCUCUUUAGUUUUUUCACUAAAGCAAGUAGUUUAUUUCCUGAACAGUCAAAUUUUUGUGGGCUGUAUUGAAUAGUUAAAUUGAAGAAAAAAUUUUGGCGGGGCUUGAGAUUUUUGUGGACUACCCUCUUGCUCCAUAUCUGCACCUAAUCCAACGCAUACCCAAGGAGAAUCUGCAACGUACUACGAUCUUUCACCCACGAACUAACACCUUUUGCUUUUUUUUUUGGUUAUGGUGGCAUUUGCUGAUCUGAAUAACUUUGCAUCGACAAAGCUGAAGAAAUUAGUGCAGUAUUUGGAGAUCCAGAGCUCCACGGCAGUUACGUGCAGAACUUCGUAAAUUACUUGGGAAAGAACAGACCUAAAUCCAAAUAAGAAAUGUUUAUAUUAAAAACAUUGCACCCAUUGGUUUUUUUUUUUUUUUUGGAGUAUUCUGUUGUUUUACUCGGUUCUGAAAGUACAUCAUUUCUUUCAAUGAAAACGUCCAUUCAUGCAAGUUAACAAAUCAUGUUCCAUGACUUAAGGGGUAUGAAAAUUUUAUUGUUAUAGCAACUGUGCCUUUUUUUUUUUUCUAUAAUUUUUUUGGGAGCAACUAUGGGCAUUCAUUGAUCAAACCAUUAUAGCAAUUGUGCUCUUCAUCGAUCCUUGGGUGCAUGCGCGUAAUUGUGUUGGACAGUUUAAUACACUCAAUUCCCUUCCACUUUGUAUUGCUAUUGGAUCGGGGAAUUGGCGAUUAGUUUUUGAAACGUGAAAUCAGCAACUUGUUGAUUUUUGACGAAUAGAAUUUCUACUAAAUGUGUUGUUUAACACGUUAAGAAGAAGAAGAAGAAAAUAAACACGACAAGAAGCGUGUUUACUUGCUUAUAGCAGGAAAACAGCGUCUAAUUAUCUAGAAACAGUUAAUGACUUCUUGUAUCCGCUGCAAGAAGUAAUGUGAAAUUUCACUACAUAUCCAAAAAACUAGACAGUACAUUUUUGCCAAUAACUCACUGCAAUGUGACAGUGAACCUGUGAUUACAAAACCGAGAGGCCCCAGUCAUCACUGCAAAUUUCUCCAAAAAUAUCAGCGGCGUGAUAGCAACUCGUGCUUUGAUUUGUGGUAGGUAGUGCUCCAGGAUGAAGCGUCUAGGAUGAAUACCCAACAGAAGAACAACAACGAAUAUGUCAUCAACACCUCAAGAAAAGCUGUAGGCAAGGAGAAAAAUCAUAGAGCUAAAAUUCCAAUACCAUUUCAUGGCAGACAAACCCAGCAGCUUACAUGUUGUCAUGCUUCCUUGGUUAGCCUUCGGCCAUUUCAUCCCUUUUCUAGAGCUCUCCAAAUUCAUAGCUCAGAGAGGUCACAAAGUUAGCUUCGUUUCCACCCCUAAAAACAUCGAUCGCCUCCCUAGAAUCCCCCCAAAUUUAGCAUCUUCUAUUACCUUUGUAAAAAUCUCACUUCCCCGAGUCGAUGGGCUUCCCGAAAAUGUGGAGGCCACCGUAGACCUUGGCGAUCUUGAUGUUGCCGUUCUCAAGAAAGCCUACGACGGACUUGAGCCCGAGUUGACUCGUUUCUUGGAAGACUCAGCUCCGGACUGGAUUAUUUACGACUUUGCCCCAUAUUGGAUACCUCACAUCGCAGCUAAGCUCAACAUAUCUAAAUCAUUCUUUUGUAUUUAUAGCGCUGCCAGUAUGGCAUUCUCUGCACCCUCUCUUGAUGCGAUGGUCGCGGGUACUGAUCCCAGAACUAAGGUCGAGGAUUUUACGGUUCCACCGAAGUGGAUCCCAUUCGAGAGUAAAUUGGCAUUCAAGUUGCACGAGAGUAGAUUUGUUGUGCGAAGUAAGAACCUAGAUGGAUCGGGUGUAUCGGAUAUGUAUAGGAUCGGAUCGGCUAUAAAGGGUGGAGAUGUUACAUUGAUAAGAUAUUGCCCCGAGUUUGAAGGCAAGUGGUUGAAGUUACUUGAAGAUUUGCUACAGCGGCAUAUAAUACCGCUGGGAUUAAUGCCACCCCCGGUGGAAAAAAGCAUCGUCGAGAACAACGAGUCCUGGACUGCAAUCAAGGAUUGGCUUGAUGGCCAAGGUAAAGGCUCGGUGGUUUAUGUGGCACUUGGGAGUGAGGUAUCACUGAAUCAACUCCAACUCAGUGAGUUAGCUCUUGGGCUGGAGUUAUCCGGGGUACCAUUUUUCUGGGCACUAAGGAAUCCAUCUGGGCUGCCAGAGGGGUUCGAGGAUAGAGUCAAGGGAAUGGGUAUCGUUUGGAAGAAUUGGGCACCUCAGCUUAACAUACUGAGUCAUGACUCAGUGGGUGGAUUCCUGACUCACUGCGGGUGGAGUUCGAGUAUAGAGGGGCUCAUGUUUGGUCAUCCGCU
This 46985-nucleotide long non-coding RNA is filed under the name Coffea arabica (coffee). RNAcentral's name for it is "long non-coding RNA (CARA_LNC005242)". The record is from RNAcentral. Lineage: Eukaryota; Viridiplantae; Streptophyta; Magnoliopsida; Gentianales; Rubiaceae.